Molecule: long non-coding RNA, 56919 nt
Filed under: Citrus x clementina
Lineage: Eukaryota; Viridiplantae; Streptophyta; Magnoliopsida; Sapindales; Rutaceae
Description: Citrus clementina (C. clementina) long non-coding RNA (CCLE_LNC005570)
Source: RNAcentral
AAAUUUAAGAAGAGAUGCUCGAGAGCAAUGGGGCUUUCACAGGACAUGAGGAUUUCAGCGCUACCUUCUUGGAUUAAGAAUUUGCUGCUCAGAUCAGAGAUUCUUGAUUUGGUAGAUGUCAACGAUUUGGAGAAUAUAGUCUCGGACCUAGCUAAUGAUGGCUUUAACGAAUUGAUGUUUCUAGUUAUUUUCAGCUGCAAUGAGAUGAAAUGUCUCGUGAACUCUUUGGAAAGGACAGGAAGAGUAACUCUCCACAAGUUAGAAUGGUUGUUUAUACAUAAAAAUCAGAAUUUUGUUGAAAUAUGCCACGGUCAACUCCCAGCCGGGUGCUUGAGCAAUGUAAAAAGGAUAGAUGUGGAAGAUUGUGGCAGUAUGUUGAAAAUUUUACCAAGUCAUUUGGUACAAAGCUUUCAAAAUCUUCAACGUUUGAGGGUAGAAAGUUGUGACUUGCUGGUGUCUGUAUUCGAAAUUGAAAGGGUUAAUAUUGCAAAAGAAGAAAUCGAGUUGUUUUCGUCAUUAGAGAAACUGACUCUGAUCGACCUGCCUCGGAUGACAGACAUAUGGAAGGGUGACACUCAAUUUGUAAGCCUCCGUAACCUGAAGAAAGUAAGAGUGGAAGAGUGCGAUGAGUUGAGACAAGUAUUUCCGGCAAAUCUUGGGAAGAAAGCAGCAGCAGAGGAGAUGGUACUGUACCGGAACAGAAGAGAUCAGAUUCACAUUCACGCCACAACCUCAACCUCCUCUCCGACUCCGAGUUUGGGAAACCUGGUUUCUAUUACAAUUCGGGGAUGUGGGCAACUACGACAACUCUUCACAACCUCCAUGGUCAAAAGCCUGGUGCGACUUGAAAGCCUAGAAGUAAGCAGCUGCCCAACACUGCAAGAAAUAAUCAUGGAUGAUGAUGGAGAAGUGGGACUGCAGGGAGCAUCAACAGAGAAGAUCACGUUUCCAAGUUUGUUCAUCAUACAACUCUGUCACUUAGACAGCCUCGCUUGUUUCUUUUCAGCAGGUUCACAUGCUACUAUUGAAUUCCUAACUUUGGCGGCUUUGCUAAUAAUUGAUUGUCCAAGCAUGAAGACCUUUGGUUAUGGAGACCAACUGACACCCAAGCUGCUGAAAGGUGUGUUAGUAAAUGGUGAAUAUCGCUGGACGGGUAACCUUAACCACACCAUUCAACAAUACGUGUACAACGAGAAGGUACGUCAAGUUAGCAAUUGCUUGCCCAUUAAAUUCCUUGUUUUUUUUUUCUUAAUUGUAUUUGUAUGUGGUGGUAAAAUAAUUUUCUACAUCUACUUAUACUAGCACACCAUUUUAAUUUUAUUUUUCAUUUGGGGCAGAAAAUUCGGGAGAAAGAACCAAUGAAGUCAGGAAUUUCAUCUGAGACUACUUCCUCUGACACUGAGAAUUGAUUGUGUAAAACAAACGGUAUGCAUGCGUAAAAUUUUACUAAAUUCCCUAGAUUUUGUCACAUAUUUAUCCUUUGACAUUGCUCUAACUAAUCCAAAUACUUGAUUUGUUUUCAGAACCAUCAUAUAAGGAGCGUUGACAGGUUCGCAUACAUCACCAGUUUAUUGAAUUUCAUUCUCCUUUUUCAUGUCUUAUAUAUUAAAUGCACAAAAGAAUUUCAUGUAUUUUCUUCGUUCGGGAUUGUGCAUGAUGUUAUUUAUUCUGGUUUCAAUCUCUCAGGUAUGCCAAGCCCAGAUGCCAGAUUGCUUGGGAUGUUAAAAUAAUAAUUACUUUAGUUCGUGGAGCUGCCUGUAAAAAUUUGGUAUCCAUAAUGUAUGUUGUUUGUUUAGAUAUUAAACAAUUAGAGUUUGUUAACCAUAGACGUAUUCUCAAUGUAAUAAGUGUCGGCAGGAAAGUGCUGAUGUCAAUUCUGAAAAAUAAAUGUAAUUUGGUAUUACAAGUGAGAAAAAUAAUUGUGAAUCCUUAUUUCUUUUGUUUGCACUUUGUUAAUAGUCAAUUUAAGAGAUACCUUAAUGAUAUUCUCUUCUUCUAUUUCUUCUAUUCUUUAAUUGUUUUUCAUAGUAAAAAAAAAAUUAAAAUUAUUUGAUAUCCUAGUAACCUACUUUUAGAGCCUGCUAAUUUAGUUGCAGUUUUGCAGUAUUGAGUUACUGAAUUAAAAAAAUUAGAUUUUUCCUCUUUCCAGAUCAACGCAUGCUAAUGCAACAUUGCUUUCUGGCAAUAGAACAGGCUGCCAAUGGAACACAAAUUUAUAAGUUUCGGGAUAAAAUUUUCAUUAACUAAUAAAAAGCGGAAUGACAAUUUCCUAGUAACAGAUGCUGAAUCUGUAGCCACAUUUUCUUGGUAACCAUUUUUCCAAAGUUCAAAGCUUCUCUGCUACUUGUGCCCAAUCCUGUCUCAAGCCAAUCUCAGAAAUAACUCUGAGAAGAUGCCCUGCCAUCAGAGAUCAAUCAAAAGGCCUUCAGGAUUUGGCUGACAUAUAAAUGCUUGAAGCAAAAUUUUACCUUCAGCAGCAGCUGCACCAAGAAAAUGCACAACCAUUUGAUCAUUAUCAAAUGCAAAAUGAACAGGCACAAGCAGAGAAACAGGUUUCAGAAUUGGAGCAGCGGCUCCGUGGGGGCCGGUGGGAGCUUCACUAUUGGAGGGUGAGAACAGAAAUCGGGCCAUCAUCAUUCUGAUUUCUGAAGAGUUUAUUGUGUUUCUAUCAUGAGAUGAUUAAGUGCGUUGACUAUGUUCUGGUGUUGUGCUGAAUGUUUAUUUCAACAUAACUUUGUCUGGAACAACUUGUGUUUGGAGUUUUUAGUUUCACAAAGAUAUUAUUUGCGUACUUUAUUUCAGUUUAAUUUCCAUAGAUGACUUUUAUACGGCUUAUAUAAAUCUUGAUUUCUGCGGGGGUUAAGUUUGUGUUUAUUACAUACGCAUACAUACAUAUGAAAAGACCAAUAUGCUCAGGCUUUGCAACAUAAACUCGGGUGAGUCCUCUAACAGUCGUUUUGCCUCUUAUUUUUUCGAUAAAUCUUAACAUUUGACUCCAAAGUGUCACGUGGAACUCAUAUAUCGGAUUAUGAAUUUCUUAAUUUCUGAAUUAAUUAUUACUUUAUUGUAUCAACACUUGGGGAAAUUCCACACAGCAACACAAGAAGUCAUUAAAAAAUUCAACAGGUUGCCAAUGGGAGUAGAAAUUUACAGGUUUCAGAAUAAAAUAUUUUCAUUAAUUGAUAAAAUAUUUGAAUGGAAAUACUAGAAUUAUUAUUCUAAAUGAAUGGGUAAGAAACAAAAAACUAAAUCUGAAUUUCGUAGCUCGUACUGUUUGUGGUGAAAAAUAUGACGACGAGGAAUUCAUGAGUAGAAAGGUGCUCCCCUCAUCAAAAACUAGCUCAUCAUGGGUUUUCAUCCGCAAGGAGCCAUGUUCUGGUCGCUCGAGUGCUUCGCUUGGUUGGGGAUAGGCGACGAGAGGCCCUGUUCGAAUAUGAUCGGUCUUGACUGGUCAAAGAAUCGGGCCUAGGUCAUGGGUAUCUAGGAUGUUGGUUUUUCCCUAAGAAUUCGGGGCAUGAGAUCCACUCAAGGGCACUCACCCACGAUGGUGCAACCGACCCAGAAAUGAUUGUGGAGAUAGGGCCGCAAAUUUCGGAUGGGUAUAAACGACACAGGGUACAAGUUUUUCCAAGAAAAAAGACUCAAUUAGUGACUUGAACGUUAGGGGGUUAUCGCCAGAAAAACAUCUAGCAUUACUAAUAUGACCAAUAAUAUAUUACGUGAGUUAUACUCUAAUCUGGUAAUAUAAUAACAAUUCUUACCAAAAAUUUAUCAACUUAAAAACAAUGUUGGGUACAUUUUCUUUUAUGUUAUGAUUACAUACCCACACCCAACUCCAAGGGCGUAGUCGGGUUGGUAACAACAUGAAGCUUGUAGCAGCUAACCACUCGGGUUCGAGUCUUGGGGGAGAUAAGGAGAACAUAAAAUUGUUUGGGUUUGGCCCACCCCCUUACUUUUAAAAAAAAAAAAAGAUACCCACACCUUCAAUGAUGACUAUAAUGCACAAAUAUACAUUUAGCUUCACAAAAAUUGACACACAAACCCUCGAUUAUUUGAAAUGAUUUAAAUUUAUUGGAAAUUGUUUAUUUUGUGUGGGAAUAAUUACACAGGUCAAGCGUCAUCAAGAACUCCUUAUAAAAAAUUGAGGAGCCAUGGAAUAACGAACAUGCUAGGUUGGGGAAUUUUGAUGAUAAUUGGAGCUAUAUUAGCUCGAUACUUCAAGCAAUGGGAUCCAAUUUGGUUUUAUUCACAUACUUUGGUUCAGUCACUGGGAUUUGUACUUGGCGUGGCUGGUGUAAUUUGUGGACUUGUGCUGGAAAAUAAAUUCGAUGCCGAUGUUUCAACCCACAAAGGUCUUGGAAUCUUCAUACUUGUUCUUGGUUGCCUCCAGGUUUUUUUAUGGUCACACUAUUUAGCAAUUUUUGGACUUUCUCUCUCUCUCUCUCUCUUUUUCUGUUUGAUGCUCACACUUCAUAAAUUUCUAUUUAUUUAUUUAUGUUGAGUGAUUUUCAAGUAAUUUUAUAUAAUUCCUCACUUGAAUUUAAGUCUUAAAGAAGAUUUAAGCUUUGUUAAAAUUUAAUAUAUCUUACUAAUUGUGAUGAAAUAUAUUAAACAGUGACAGAUUACAUCUACAUUUUUUAAAAUAAAUGUGAGAAAAUAUUAAAGAGUGACGACAUAUAACUAGGGAUGGCAAUGGGGAGGGGAGGGGAGGGGACCAAUCUCCCCGUACUCAUCCCCGAUAUUUUGCGUAUGUCCCCGUCCCAUCCCCGUCCCCAUCAGAAUUACUUGAGAGAAUCCACAUCCCCUCCCCGAAUAAUAACAGGGGAUUCCCAAGGGUCCCCGAUCCCCGAAUAACUAAUACAUUUUUUGUUUUCAAUUUUGAGUUAAUCAUAUUAAAAUAAAAAAUUCAAAUAAAAGUAAAGUUUGAAAUAUAUCUUACAUUAAUAUCCAUUACAAAAGUCACAUACAUUAAAUUAGUAAGUAACGCAACAUGUAAGGGAUACAAACUUCUUUUACAAAUUAUCGUGAAUAAAUUAAUAGUCUAAUGUAAAAUUAUUAGAAAUAAAAUCAAAUUUAGAUUCAAAAUUAACUUUUUCAAUGGUGGCGUGGCACUUUAUAAAUGUGGACUAUUCCUUUUACAGCACAAUAGUUAAGUCGGAGCAAAUCAAGAGCAAAUAUUAUAUUAGAUUAAAUUAGAUAUUAAAAUUGUGAUUCGCUGUGGGCAAUUAUAACAUCUAAAAAUAAAUAUAAAAAAUAGAUUUAAGUUUAAAACAUUUAAUGAAUAUUAAAAUUAAAACAAAAUUUUUGGGCUAAUAAAAUUUACCAGGUUUUUUUAAUAUCCUAAAUAAAAAUUUAGGACUUUAAUUAGUUAAUUAGGUCUAAAAGUUUAAUAAUAUAAAUAUAUUGAUAUUUGUUAUUUUUACCAAUAUUUAUAAUUUUAUAAUUCAAAUUUUAUUAUUUAUUUACUAGUAAUUUUAAAAAAUAAAAAUAAAAUUAAAAAUUAAAAUGGGGAAAUGGGUAGGGGAUGGGGAUUCCACCUCAUCCCCGUCCCCUCCCUGAAUAAGAAAUUGGGUAAAAAAAUGUUCCCGUCCUCUCCCCGAAUAAGAAAUUGGGUAUGAAAUUAUCCUCAUACCCUCCCCGAAUGGGGAAAAUCUCCGAGGGUACCCGUCCCCGUGGGGAUUUUUACCAUCCCUACAUAUAACUCGCCCCUCCAACCCAAGGCCUUAUUUUAACUUUCGUUUCAUAUAAAGCACACAAUUUUACACUUUGGACCCCAUUACUUUGGACGAUUUAUGUUUUACCCCUCAUCUCUCUAAAUAUCUUUUUAUAGAGAUUGACCUUUCUAAAUUUAUUACUUUUAUGAUGCUUUUUGGCCACUUCGAAUUUUCAAUUUUAGCUCUGCCUUGUUUCUAGCCAUAAUGUGCAGGAGGGAACUAAAUAAAUUUGUAGGGUGGCCGAGUCCAAGGAAAAAAAAAUCGGGGGAAAAUUAAAUAUUAAAUGAAAAUUUCCCCAUCUCAUAUUAAUUUUACUUUUGACCCCAAAUUUUAUACAUAAUAUUUUCACAGCCUAGUAUAUUGUAUGAUUUAUCAAUUAUAGCCCCACUAUUGGCCUCUGAAAUUUUACCGUUUUGAUGUUAUAGCCUAGUCAAGUAUAUAAUUUCUCCAUUAUGCUGCCGUCAAAGCAAAAUUCUUAGAAAAUUUACAAUACUUUAUUUGAUGAACCAUUAACAAGUUUUUGUCCUUUUUUUUUUUCUAAUUAUGUGUUACUAGAUUAUUUAAUUUAAAUUUAUAUAAAAUGUAAAAUGUUAAUGAUUUGUGUUAUGUAGGUAAUGGCAUUUUUGGCCCGACCCAACAAGGAAUCAAAAGUGAGAAAAUAUUGGAAUUGGUACCAUCACAACAUGGGGAGGAUUCUGAUCAUAUUUGCAAUAGCAAAUAUUUUCUACGGAAUUCAUUUGGGUGAAAAAGGAAAGGGAUGGAAUGCUGGUUAUGGGAUCACUAUUGCCAUCUUGUUUUUGAUCGCUAUUGUUCUAGAAAUAAGGAUGUGGAUGAGGAAAUAAAAGUUCUUUACUUCAUCAAAAAUGCUAUUUGGACCAUUAAAAAAAAUAUUACAAUUUUUUUUUGUCAAAGUAGUAUUGAUGUACCUUUUAAUUAUUUUAUAUAUAUUGAUUAAUGACUGAUUUAUGUUUGUUUUUUGUUUCACUCAUAAAUUCUACUGAUUUUUCUAAAGACAAUGAAAACAUAUGAUUAUAAUUAUUGGAAUAUUUCAUUUUUAGUUUGUUAUAUCAAAUUUUACUUUCAAAUAUUCUCAGAAUCAACACAAAUAGAUAAAUGGGAAAAUGAGUAAAACUACUCCUCUUGUUUAAUAAAAUCAAGCACGAGGGGGUAUCGCUUAUUUUCCCUAGAUAAACCAAUGCCCUAUCUAAGUUUUGAAAAUUAUGUGAUGCAUGUAUAACAUCAUAACAACCCUUGUGCCUUAGAAAAAUUUUAAAAACGUCUUUGCUGAUUUUUAAACUUUUGGGUUUUUACCUCUUGUGAAACUAUUGCAAACUUGCCCCACCUACACUCGGUAUAUUGAUUUGUACUAGUCAUGCUCUCAAUUAGGACUAAUUUCUCGAUUGGCAAUAUUUUCAUCGUGCAAAUGAUGUUGCCUUAUGCCAAAACUUUUCAAUAUGAAAUGAGAAAGAAAGCAACACUCCACCUCAAUUGUCCCACUUGAGGUCCUCUUGUUGUAAUAAAGCUCAAAAAGUUUCAACUACUUAUCUAAGAUUGGUACCUUUUGUUUUGUUUGCAUCCCCACUACACUUUAUUCGUCCAUUCAAUAAUUUUCCUAAUGUCAGACAACCAAAUAAUGUUGAAAUUGAAUAAACAAUCAAAUUGAUGAUGGGGUUGAAACUCUAACUAAUUAAAAAAAAACUACUAAAUUGAUUGUUCUUUUAAAUAAAUAUGAAAUUAAUGAACACAAUUGGUUAUUUAUGAAAUUUUUUUUUUCUGAUGGGGACAUUCUUAUUUUAUAAAGCCCGAACUCGAACGAAAACAAUAAAUGUAUAUCAUUGUAUGGUUAGAUUUUAAAUCCGCAUUUUCACUAAGAGUUGACGUCUACACCGAAAACUAACUAAUAGAUAAUUAUAAUAAUUAAAGUGUAAAUCUCAUUAAAGUAAACUCCAUUUUUGGACUCAAAUUUACUCAGACUCCACAUUUGGAGAGCUGAUACUCAUCCAGAUGGGUUGCCAUAAAUAAAAUGAACCUUGUAAUUAUCUGUUAAGUGACCUGCAAGCGCCUAAUUAUCUGCUGACCAGUCAAACGUUGACCAAAAUUCUCUUGUUACUGUAGAAACGAAGCAGAGUCCUAGCCCAGGUGGGCCCCACAAGGCUGCGUUGGAUUUCGGAUAAAGACAACAAUUUCAUAAAUUAAGUACUAAAUUUAAAAAUUCCCCAAUAAAUUCAUCCCGUCACUGGCAUUCUGUCAAUUCUUUGUCCAUUUGCUUCUCAAUUGAGUCUCACACCAACCACCACGUCUCUGGUCUCCUAUAAAUAUGUUCUAGCAGUGACUAUUAUUGUAUCACUAUUCACUUACAAACUUGAAAAAAAUCACUAGGGUUUAAUCUUUCUCUAAAUGUGAAUUUCAUUUGUAAGCGUCAUCAUCAGAUAAUCACUCUGAUAACCUUUUUUUUGUGGGGUUUUUUCUUUUUUAUUUUCACAAUUGCAUCAUGUAUACGUAUCAUCUACACAUACAUAUAUAGCUAGAAGCUUGAUUAUAUAUAGUUAUUAGAUCGAUUCUGAUUAGUCAAGGGUUUGUUAGAUCACAACGUUUCCAAAAGUUUUUUUAUUAGGGUUUCUAACCAUGAUAUUUUUUUGCAAAAGUUAUUUAUCAGUUGAUCAUGAGAUAAAGAUCUUGAAAUUGCAUUUUGAUAUGAAAUUCUGAUACAUGAUGCGGAUGCAAUUUUGACCUAUUUAGUAGUUAUAUUAUGAUCUUAAUUCUGGUGGCUUUGUUUUUCAUUUUUUUUUUUUUUGCUUUUGAAUUUGAAGGUUUUGUAGGGAUUUGCAGUUAUGGAUAAGGGCAAGAGACCAAUCCAAGAAGAAGAAAAUUUGUCAUCUCCUCUUGAUGAUUAUCAUACAAAUAAUAUGAUCUUACCUCCAACGCCACUAGCUCCACCGGGUUUCAGUGUUUUGAAUUUUGAAGGAUCAGGUGAUAGAAAAAUAUGAAACCCUAGCCAAACAAGUUAUAAGUUAAUUUAGAGAUGAUUUUAUUUAGUUCUUUUCUUUUUUUUAAAAAAAUUAGUAAACAUUAACUUUUAAGUAGAGCUUGAAUAUAUGUGGUGCAGGCAAAGAAACAACAGCAGCUUCUGCUGUGGAUGACAUGGAUCAGGUGGCCAAGGAAGAUUUCUUUUCCAAAUUCUUGAGCGUGAGCGUUGCUGGAGUUCCUGUCCCCUCUAUGGAGCAAUAUUCUAUGUCGUCGGCAUCAAACACCGGAGUUUUGCCAAUGGCUCAAGCUGAUGAUUAUCACGAUGAAAUGGCCGAUCCGAUACUGCCAAUUUCACACAAACUUGCUGGCAAUAAGCCACCUCCGGCAACAGCUGAUGAUGACAAAGAUAAACCACUUGUGUUCAAAAAAACCAUGCCUCCUCAUGAGCUGGCUCAACUAGCCAUAUUUGAUCCUAAGCGAGCAAAGAGGUACAUAGAUUUCUUUCAAAAUUAAACUUACUAUCGUUGCUAUCCAUACACUCUUUUCUUGUGCUAUUAGUGACUUAUUUCUCUUCAUUUUAGUUUUACUUUAAUAUGCUGAUAAGUAAAUGUGUUAUUAUUAGCACCUCUAUGGUGUUCAUUUCUCAAUUCACAAGUGGUACCCAAAAUCUAUUUGAUACAUUUUUUAUAAAAAAUAUAGGUUCUAUAUAUGUUUUCUUAGUCGUAUAUACGCCAAUGAUCAUCAAAUCUAUGUCUAAAUGGAUCUGAAUUCAUUAAUUGAGAAAUAUAGUUGUAAGAAUACAUUUGUAUCAAUAUUUUAUAUAUCUAAUAAUAGUUGUUCAUGUUUUGGUAGUACUAAACUUCAAUCUGCAUUUUGGUUUAAAUAUAACACAUGAUGUUAUAUAAUGUUGUCAAACAUUGAAAUGGAACAUUAGACAUGAAUUAGAUAAGUAUUUCGCGAACUCCGUGAUCAUUAACGCUUGUUUUCCACGUAAAUAACGAUGUCUUUUGGAUGAAAAAGAUACUAAAAAUAGAAAUUUGGAUAAAGAUUUUAUGUAUAAAAUGUAAUUUUAAGUUAAACUUUCAAUUCAUAGAAUCUAUGUAAGAUUAUAUGUGAAAAUCAAAGAACUAAUUAGAAGAGUGUUUAUUGAACAUGUAUUUGGUAUUCAUCUAGAUUUUCAAAUUAAAGUCCAGAGACUAGCAGUCACAGAAUAAUGAUCUAUAGAAGUUUCCUCAAUUCGUCUGAUUUAUUCAAACUUUUUGUACUCUGUCCAUGGCUUGAUUUGUUUCAACUGUUAUCGUCUUUUGAUCUAUAUUUGUCAUGUAAUCAUGCAUUUUCAUACUUCCUGUAAAUGCAUAUGAUGAUUAUAUAAGCAGGUCUAUAUGCUUGCAAGCAAAAAUGAAUUUUAAUUAAUCCUAUUUGUAGGUUUUAUAACAAAGGUUAAAAGAUUGUUUCUAUAUCAUACUCUAUGUGCUCCUUUGAAUAUGUGUCAUAGGAUCGUGGCAAACCGGAUGUCAGCAAUUAGGGCAAAGGAACGGAAGAAGCUGUACAUAUACAUGCUUGAACAUAAGAUGCAUAAUUUGCGAUCUAAUUCAACUACAUUGACUGCUCAAUUGACCCUAUUGGAGGUAUUUAAUUGUCAUAUAAACCUGUAGUUUAUAGACUAUAUGUAGGGUAUAUGCAGCAAUGAUUUAUAUAUCUGUUCAUUCAAUGUUAUUUUUUAAGACAAGAAACCGCUUCAUAUGUGAUAUAUGUUGUAUCUCUAAAAACAUUUUUGUCUACUAAUUACAAGCAGACAGAAAGCAAUUCAUUGGAUGCUGAAAAGGCCGUGCUGAAACAUCGAUUGGAGAUCACGUUGCAAAAGAUUCACUUGCAAGACUGUAAGUAAUUCUUCUGUCUCCUUUGCUAUAUAUAUCCUUACACUUCUCUUUGUUUGAUUUAGUGUGUGUCUGUUGCUGUGUGUUAUUUGUGAAUCAGUUAUUGACUCCAUGCAUAUAAAUAGAGCAUAAUGAUGAGGAAAAUUAUGAUAUUAUUAAUUGUGUUUAUAUUCAUGCUGUAGCUUCAUUAUCAUUGUUGAACCACGCGAAGUCUUGCUUUCUAUAAUGUUAAUGAUAAUGGGAGAUUAAAUAUUAUAUAAUCGUUUUCAGUGCGUCGUGCUCCCUCAUUUUUAAAAUGUAGAUUCGGAUCUUAUAAUGUUGUAAAAUUUCAAUUCUGCACUUUAAAAAUAUGAACGUUUGCAUCAAAGAAGGAGAAGUACAUAUUUCUUCAAUUGAAUCUUUAUUGUAUUAUUUGAUACAUAUAUAGAACAUUAAUUAAUUUCUUCUGACCUUUCCUUUUGGCAGGGUUGAAUGAUCAAAUAAGAAGUGAAAUCCAGCAUAUGAAAACCGUGCUUGGACAAAACAUACCUAAUCUUGGAGCCCAUAUUGGAUUAUCCAGAAGCAAUAGCUAUCGGGACAUAAAUGCUUCCAUAGGCGCCGCCGCACAACUGCUUCCAGAGCUCCAGCUUCAGAACCCGUAUCUGGAGCAACAACCACAGUAUGUUUUUCAGCAGCAGCCAUAUCUCGGGCUAAACAAUUUUGGAUUUCAGAAUGAGCAAGGAGAAUGCAGCCAACUUCAGCAGCAGCUGCUAUACCAAGAGAAUCCACCGCCACUUGAUCAUUACCAAAUGCAAAAUGAACAGGCACAAGGCCACCAACUUCAACAACAACAACAGCUGCCGAAAUUUUGAGCAGCUCCAUGCUGGGAACUUCAACAUUGGAGAGUGAGAACAGAAAUGAGGCAUCGUCAUUCUAUGGAUUUUAUAGGAUUCCUAUUAUCGGAUGAUUAAGUAUCUGUGUUAAUUUAUUAUGUUGUGGUUUGCUUAUUUCAACAGAACUUUAGUUUGUUUGUGUUUGGAGUUAAUUUUAAUUUCAGAAGGAUAUAAUAUGAUAUGCUGUAUAUCAGUUAUUAUAAUUUCCAUAAUUGCUUUGAUCGAUGUUGCUUAAAUCUUGGUUUCUGAGGGUCUUAAGUUGGUCUUUGCUCUAUAUAUGUGUGUGUGUGUUCGAAUUUAGAAUUUUAAAGUAUGAAAAAGUCUAAGAAAAUUCAUAAACCGUGUGGUUUAUUCGCUUAAAGUUUUAAAUCUCUUAAUCCCCCGGUUUUCAAACUUUUUUAGACUUUUCUCGUCUUUAUAUAUAUAUAGUCAUUCUCUAGUGCAAAUACUCUUAUUUUUUUCUUCAUACAGAUACACUUUUAAGCCACGUGGUUUAAUAGAAUCGGAUUUUAACAUUAUUAAAUUGCACGGCUUAACAACGUGUCUGUAUUAAAAAAAAUGAUGGCGUCUGUACCUGAGAAUCAUUAUAUAUAUAUAUAUAUAUAUAAUAUUAAAUUAGUUAUUUGCACGUCAUCAUUUUAGCACUGAUAUAUAUGAAUUUUAUUCUCGCUUUCUUUCUUGAUGAUGUACAUAGACAUAUUAGCUAUAAAUAAAUAGGUUGUAAUCAUACUUGUUAAUUAAUAGCUUGCAACAAAGUUCCAAAGUACAGAUUAGUUAAGGCGAACACAAAAAUCAAAUGUUUAAUCACAGUUCCAUUCUUUUUGCUUCUUCUGUACAAUCCUUUUGGUAUAGAUAAAAGUUAUAUUUUAUAUUUUAACGGUAAUAAUGCUAGAACUACUAACCCUUUUGUACAGGGAUCGGAGUUUGUUGCUCUAUUCUCAAGACAACAAUAAUAAUUUAAAUAUAUAUAUAUAAUUUUUGUAAAAAGCACCAGAUUACUCUUCUUAACUUCCCCAUAGAAAAUAAUAUAUAUAUAUAAUUAUUUCAUGUAUUAAUAAAUUAAUAAGGGAGUCAAAUUCAAUGUAUAGACGUUAAUAAAUUAAUUAGUAAGUGAGUCAAAUUCAAUGGAUAAAUAUUAAUUAAAAAAGAUAUAUAGUUUCAAAAAAUUAAUACAAAAAGUUUCAUGCCAAGAAACUACUAAGAUACUUAAGAAGUUAGAAAUAUUUUGGUUUCAAUAAGAAGAUGGUUAUCCUGAUCAAUUAUUACAUACCUGCAAGUUAAAAGAUGUGGUUGCAAUUUUAAAGAAUAAAUCAUUGUCACAAGUAACUUUAAAAAGAUAUUUUGUUUCAUCUUAAUUAUUUAAUGUAACAUGACAUAUAUUUUAAAAAUAUUNNNNNNNNNNNNNNNNNNNNNNNNNNNNNNNNNNNNNNNNNNNNNNNNNNNNNNNNNNNNNNNNNNNNNNNNNNNNNNNNNNNNNNNNNNNNNNNNNNNNAAUUAAAACUAGUCCCAAGUUGUUACCACAAUUUUUUUAGUACUAUGAAGAGGUUAUUCCUAUAUAGAGUAUUCCUAUUUUGGGGUUCUACUGUAUAUAGUUUUCUAGUCCGGAAUUGAAAGAGCGGGAAGAGUCCGAAAAAACUUUAAAACAUGGGGAUUAAAAGAUUUAAAAUUUAAAGCGAAUAAACCCAACAGCUUAUGAGUUUUCUCAUACUUUCCCGCACUUUAAAAUUUUGGAUUCGAUUAUAUAUAUAAUGCGUUUAGUAUUAAAUUGGUUAUUUGCACGUCAUCAUUUUAGCACCUGAUAUAUAUGAAUCAUUUUUUUAUUCUCGCUUUCUUUCUUGAUGAUGUGCAUAGACAUAUUAGCUAUAAAUAAAUAGCUUGUAAUCAUACUUGUUAAUUAAUAGCUUGUAUCUAUAGAUACAUCUACUUUCUUGCAACAAAGUUCCAAAGUACAGAUUAGUUAAGGCGGACACAAAAAUAAAAUGUUUAAUCACAGUUCCAUUCUUUUUGUUUCUUGCGUACAAUCCUUUUGGUAUAAAUAAAAAUUUUUAUUUUAUAGAGUAAUAAAAAAAAAAGUACCACAAUGCUAGAAUUAUAAUGGUAACAGUGCUAGAACUACUAACCCUUUUGUACAGGGAUCGGAGUUUGUUGCUUUAUUCUCAAGACAACAAUAAUAAUUUUUAAAAAAUAUAUAAUUUUUGUAAAAAGCACCAGAUUACUCCUCGUAACUUUCCCCAUAGAAAAUAAUAUUUAUGAAAGCAAGUAGCCUUGAGAGCAAAGGCAAGAAUGGAAGCAUUCCUCUUGAGCAUCAUUUCUUUGUUUGUUUGUUCUUUUUUCUUUUGCUUGAUGUAGCUGCUUAAUUUUUCUUUAUCUACAAUCUUCGUUUCUAUUCUUUUCUAUCUCUUAUGGUACACUCUUACAAAUCAACCAUUGGUUUAUGAAAAUCACGGUAUAAUCCAAUUGAUUAUUGCUAAGAAUUGAGCCAAAUAUUAUUGCAAUUUAUCCACAAACAAGCUGGGGAUCGAUCCAGCCGCAUAACAGCAUAUAAUAAAACCAUCCUGUAAAUAAAAAGAAAGCUAUUAUAUAAAAGAUGUAAAAAAUGCUAUUAAUCACGGUAUCGUUUUAGUAAUAUUAUUAACAUGGAUUUAAUAAACAACGCACAAUAGAUAAUUACUGAACUACAAGCAAGUUUAUAUAAUUUUCUGAUAAAUCGUGUAGGAAGAAUGCAAUUAGCUAAAGAAAGAGAAAUUAAGGAUUGGUGCAUUGGUUCACUAGAUUAAAGAUUUGAUACAUGGGCUAUGAACAGGCAGAAUUUAUGUGCAACUGUUUCAAUUUUCUUUUUUUUUUUUCACUAGUCUCCUUCGCCAUAUCAACUGGGGAAAGUGUUUUUUCAGAAAUUUGUGUUUGUUGGGUUUCUCCUCAUAACAUGGACAACAAUAUAUCAACAACAUCCUAAUUAUAAGCUUAUGAAGAUUCUAUACCAGGAGUGCCGUGAACGAAAAAGAAUACUUCCGAGGGCCUUUAAGUUUUGUACAUCAGUUGCCAUAUUCAUUAAUGCGCAUUCUUUCUUUAAGUACUUUUUGUUCUUUACCUUUUGCUUUAUAUUAAUUUGUUCACACUUUACUCUUUCUUUGUCCGAUUGCAAUCUUUGUUCUGUUAUUAUGCUUUUCUUUGUCUUAUAAUACACAUUUUGACACAAAACUAUUAAUGUGUUCGUGAACCUCAAGUAUAUAUAUGCAUGUUGAUGUGUAAUAUUGCAAUUGAUUGCUUUCUCACCCUUUCAUUUGUUGCAAACUGACCCAGAAAAUAUAUACAUCCUAGCCUAAAUUACUGCCUGCUCAUUACCUUUUAUACCAUUAGUCCUUCAUUCUUAACCUCACAAAACAAGUUGAAUAUGGCCGCGGAAACUGUUACUUCAGUUAUCCAGCCCAUUACGGAGAAGAUUGUUGACGUGUUGUUCAAUGCAACAGUCCGUCAGUUUGGUUACUUGUGUAAGUACAAACACUACAUUGAAGCGUUGAGGACGGAAGCAAAGAAGCUCACAGAUAGAAGAAAUGACUUGCAAGCGGAAAUUGAUGCUGCAACAAGAAAUAGAGAAGUUAUUAAAGAUGAGGUUAAAAGCUGGAUAGCAGAAGUCAAUGAAAUCAUUCCAAAAGCGGAAAAGUUUUUGGAGGAUGAAGUGAAAGUAAACAAGAAAUGCCUUGGCGGGUUGUGCGUUGAUCUCAAAUCACGUUACAAACUCAGCAGAGAGGCAGAGGGGAAGACUCUAGCAAUUUCUGGUCUCAUGGCUGAUGGAAAUUUUGGAAAAGAUGUGUCUCGUCCUGCUCCUCCACCAGCAAUAAUAUCUUCGUCUGAAGGAUUCUACGCUUUCAAUUCCAGGGAAUCAGCAAUGAAGGAUAUAAUGGAGGCCAUGAAGAAUGAAAAUGUUAGCAUAAUAGGAAUAUGCGGAAUGGGGGGUGUGGGGAAGACCACACUAGUCAAGGAAAUUCAGAAGCAAGCAAAAGAAAUGAAGAUGUUUGAUGAUGUAGCGAUGGCCGUUGUGUCUCAAACUCCAACCAUUACCAAGAUUCAAGGUGAGAUUGCUGGCUGGUUAGGUGUUAAAAAACUGCCUGACAAUGACGAGUCGGCAAGAGCUAGUUUUUUGUGGGAAAGAAUCAAGGAGAAGCAGCGAGUGCUUGUCAUAUUGGACGACUUAUGGGGGCGAAUAAAAUUGUCUGAGGUUGGUAUUCCUUACGGAAAGGAUCACAGAGGCUGUAAUAUUUUGCUCACGUCUCGAUCACGUGCUGUCUGCAAUCAAAUGAAUGCGCACAAAAUUGUUGAAGUCGGAACUUUAACGAAAGAGGAAUCUUGGAGCCUUUUCAGGGAGGUAGCUGGUCCAGAAGUUGAUAAUCUUGAAAUAAACCCGACUGCAAGAGAGGCGGCUGACGGGUGCGGUGGCUUGCCAAUUGCGAUUCUCACAAUAGGAGGAGCGCUGAAGGAUAGAGACAAGCAUGUUUGGAAAGAUGCAGCUGAUCAACUCAAAAGUUCCGCCCCAACGAACAUCGAAGGGAUGGAAGAGUUUGUAGUUUCACGCGUGCAGCUGAGCUACAAUUAUCUGAAAAGCGAGGAGUCAAAAUCAAUCUUCCGACUCUGCAGCUGCUUUCCAGAAGAUUACGAUAUUCCAAUUGAAGUGUUGGCGAGAUACGGAUGGGGUUUGAGGUGCUUACAAAACGUCGAUUCAGUGGAGAAGGCCAGAGGCAGAGCACGUAGUGCUGUAAGUACCCUUAUCUUUUCUUAUUUGUUAAUUGAUGGUGAGGAGGAAGGGUUUGUUAAGAUGCAUGACGUUGUGCGUUAUGUUGCACAACAAAUAGCGUCUAAAAAUAAGUUCUUGAUUAAGGCCGGCGUCGGGCUAAAAGACUGGCCAAGCAUAAAUACAUUUGAAGAUCUCACUGGAAUCUCAUUGAUGUUCAAUGAUAUCCAUGAGGUACCUGAUGAGUUGGAGUGUCCAAAGCUCCAAGCUUUAUUCCUGCAGGAAAAUUAUCACUUAGUCAUUCCUGACCCAUUUUUUCAAGGGAUGAAAGAUCUGAAAGUUUUAGACUUGGAAGGAAUCCGAAUGGUUUCACCGCCUUUCUCACUUUCAUUCCUUAGUAACCUCGGAACUUUAAGUCUUCAUGAUUGCUGUGGCUUGGGCGACCUAUCUUUAAUCGGAGAGUUAAGUAGAUUGGAGAUUCUUGAUCUUUCAGAAUCUGAUGUAAGUGAAAUUCCGGUCAGUUUUGGACGAUUGGGUCAUCUAAGAUUGUUGGAUUUGACAGACUGUGAGCACCUAGAACUAAUACCCCGAGGUGUCCUCUCUAGCCUUCGUAAGUUAGAGGAGUUAUACAUGUCAGACAGUUUUCGCCGCUGGCAAUUUGAGAGCGAAGAAGAUUCAAGCAGUAAUGCCAAAUUCAUUGAAUUAGGAGCCUUGAGUCGACUCACUAGUUUGCAUAUUGACAUCCCGAAAGGCAAAAUCAUGCCUUCUGAUAUGUCCUUCCAAAAUCUGACAAGCUUUUCGAUUACAAUUGGCGACCUUGAGGAGGACCCUCUCAGUUAUUUUAUGGAAGUAUUUUCUAGAAAAUUUAAGAAGAGAUGCUCGAGAGCAAUGGGGCUUUCACAGGACAUGAAGAUUUCAGCGCUACCUUCUUGGAUUAAGAAUUUGCUGCUCAGAUCAGAGAUUCUUGCUUUGGUAGAAGUCAACGAUUUGGAGAAUAUAUUCUCGAACCUAGCUAAUGAUGACUUUAACGAAUUGAUGUUUCUAGCUAUUUUCCGCUGCAAUGAGAUGAAAUGUCUCUUGAACUCAUUGGAAAGGACACAAAGGGUAACUCUCCACAAGUUAGAAUGGUUGUUUAUACGUGAAAAUCAGAAUUUUGUUGAAAUAUGCCACGGUCAACUCCCAGCCGGGUGCUUGAGCAAUGUAAAAAGGUUAGAUGUGGAAGCUUGUGGCAUUAUGUUGAAAAUUUUACCAAGUCAUUUGGUACAAAGCUUUCAAAAUCUUCAACGUUUGAGGGUAGAAAGUUGUGAGUUGCUGGUGUCUGUAUUCGAAAUUGAAAGGGUUAAUAUUGCAAAAGAAGAAACUGAGUUGUUUUCGUCAUUAGAGAAACUGACUCUGAUCGACCUGCCUCGGAUGACGGACAUAUGGAAAGGUGACACUCAAUUUGUAAGUCUCCAUAACCUGACGAAAGUAAGAGUGCAAGACUGCGAUGAGUUGAGACAAGUAUUUCCGGCAAAUCUUGGGGAGAAAGCAGCAGCAGAGGAGAUGGUACUUUACAGGAACAGAAGAGAUCAGAUUCACAUUCACGCCACAACCUCAACCUCCUCUCCGACUCCGAGUUUGGGAAACCUGGUUUCUAUUACAAUUCGGGGAUGUGGGAAAUUACGAAACCUCUUCACAACCUCCAUGGUCAAAAGCCUGGUGCGACUUGAAAGCCUAGAAGUAAGCAGCUGCCCAACACUGCAAGAAAUAAUCAUGGAUGAUGAAGGAGAAGUGGGACUGCAGGGAGCAUCAACAAAGAAGAUCACUUUUCCAAGUUUGUUCAGCAUAAAACUCCGUGAUCUACACAGCCUUGCUUGUUUCUGCUCGUCAGGUUUACAUGCUACUAUGGAAUUUCUAGCUUUGGAGGCUUUGCAAAUAAUUGACUGUCCAUGCAUGAAGACCUUUGGUUAUGGAGACCAACUGACACCCAAGCUGCUGAAAGGUGUGGAGUUAGAAGGUGGUGAAUAUCACUGGACGGGUAACCUUAACCACACCAUUCAACAAUACGUGUACAACUAAAAGGUACGUCAAGUUAGCAAUUGCUUGCCCAUUAAAUUCCUUGUUUUUUUUUUUCUCAAUUGUAUUUGUAUGUGGUGGUAAAAUGAUUUUCUACAUCUGCUUAUACUAGCACACCAUUUUAAUUUUGUUUUUCAUUUGGGGCAGAAAAUUCGGGAGAAAGAACCAAUGAAGUCAGGAAUUUCAUCUGAGACUACUUCCUCUGACACUGAGAAUUGAUUGUGUAAAACAAACGGUAUGCAUGCGUAAAAUUUUACUAAAUUCCCUAGAUUUUGUCACAUAUUUAUCCUUUGACAUUGCUCUAACUAAUCCAAAUACUUGAUUUGUUUUCAGAACCAUCAUAUAAGGAGCGUUGACAGGUUCGCAUACAUCACCGGUUUAUUGAAUUUCAUUCUCCUUUUUCAUGUCUUAUAUAUUAAAUGUACAAAAGAAUUUCAUGUAUUUUCUUCGUUUGGGAUUGUGCAUGAUGUUAUUUAUUCUGGUUUCAAUCUCUCAGGUAUGCCAAGCCCAGAUGCCAGAUUGCUUGGGGUGUUAAAAUAAUAAUUACUUUAGUUCGUGGAGCUGCCUGUAAAAAUUUGGUAUCCAUAAUGUAUGUUGUUUGUUUAGAUAUUAAACAGUUAGAGUUUGUUAAUCAUAGACGCAUUCUCAAUGUGAUAAGUAUCGGCAGGAAACUGCUGAGUUCAAUUCUGAAAAAUAAAUGUAAUUGAGUAUUACGAGUGAGAAAAAUAAUUGUGAAUCCUUAUUUCUUGUUUUUGCACUUGGUUACUAGUCAAUUUAAGAGAUACCUUAAUGAUAUUCUCUUCUUCUAUUUCUUCUAUUCUUAAAUUGUUGUUCAUAAUUAAAAAAAAAUUAAAAUUAUUUGAUAUCCUAGUAACCUACUUUUAGAGCCUGCUAAUUUAGUUGCAGCUUUGCAGUAUUGAGUUACUGAAUUAAAAAUAUUAGAUUUUUCCUCUUUCCGGAUCAAUGGAUGCUAAUGCAGCACAGCUUGCUGGCAAUAGAACAGGCUGCCAAUGGAACACAAAUUUAUAAGUUUCGGGAUAAAUUUUUCAUUAAUUAAUAAAAAGCCGAAUGACAAUUUUCUAGUAACAUAUGCUGAAUCCGGAGCCACAUUCUCUUGGUAACCAUUUUUCCAAAGUAAAAAGCUUCUCUGCUAGUUGUGCCCAAUCCUGUCUCAAGCCAAUAUCAGAAAUAACUCUGAGAGGAUGCCCUGCCAUCAGAGUUCGAUCAAAGGCCUUCAGGAUUUGGCUGAUAGAUAAAUGCUAGAAGCAAAAUUUUAACUUCAGCGGCAGCCGCACCAAGAAAAUCCACAGCCAGUUGAUCAUUAUCAAAUGCAAAACGAACAGGCACAAGCAGAGAAGCAGGUUCCAGAAUUGGAGCAGCAGCUCCGAGGUGGCCGGUGGGAGCUUCCCUAUUGGAGGGUGCGAGCAGAAGUUGAGCCAUCAUAAUUCUGAUUUCCGAAGAGUUUAUUGUGUUUCUAUUAUGAGAUGAUUAAGUGUCUUGACUUUGUUCUGGUGUUGUGUCGAAUGAUUAUUUCAACAUAACUUUGUCUUGAACAGCUUGUGUUUGAAGUAAAAUUCUUCAAAAAAGGGCUGACAGUGACAAGUUCUGUACGUUCCCGAAGGAAGAUUCACCUUAUAUAUUAUUGGCCUUAUGAAGAGCAGCAAGGCUCUCCAGGUUGAGCAAUUGGUGUUGGUUUUGUGACCAACUGCCAUGAUGAUGGUCAGUAUCAUCAAUAUUAUCCUGCAGAUUAAGCCUGCUCACGCCUCGGUUGCAUCAUGCCAAUCAUUAUUUAUCGUCAUCAGUCUGCAUGAUGGGCUCUGCAACAUCACCAUACUCCUCUAGUGCCAUUGUAAUAUCACAAAGCAAGAAGUUGAAACCUGCCGCUGUUGAGCUCUGCAACAUCACCGUACUCCUCUGAUGCCAUUGUAAUAUCACAAAACAAGAAGUUAAAAUGUAGAAAAUGUUUAAAAUCAAAUAAAAUUUGAACCAAAAAAAAAAAAACCACCAAAAGAUUGCACUCACAGUUUUGCGGAAGAAAUUUCUACACUUAAAACGAACAAAAGAGGUAACAGAAUACACGCAUUCUACUAGGAUAAGGAAACGUCGGUUAGUUUUAUAAUUUUAAAUUACUACUAAAACAAUGUGUUUUUGUGUUUAAUACGAAAAAUUAAAAUUGAGUUGAAUCUUGUCCAUCCAAUAAUUUAAAUAAUACACAUCAAAAUGUCUUUAAAACAUUAGGAAAGAUUAGAGUACGAAGGAAAGUGGAUCCAAUUAUUGGGAUAAUUAGUAAUAAAUUUACAAUCAGAAUUAAUCUUUACAAAUUGUUUAAAACUGCACCUCAUAUAUAUUUAGACUCCAUUUGAUAUAGCCUCUCAAAUAGAUCUUAUUUAAAUAGAACUUUUACAAAUAGAGUUUUUAUUUUAAAAAAAAAUUAGUUGUUUGGUUGUUAAUAAGAGUUUUUAUUAAAAAUUAUAAACUAUCAAAGUUUAAAGUUAUGUUAUAAAAACAAUAAAAUAAGAAUAUAAAACAAAUAAUGAGCAUUUUAGACAAUUGAACUUUCUAAGAAAAAAAAAACUUUGUAACCUCUAGCCCUAAAAACUCAAAAUUUGAGCUUUUUUUAGUGGAGGUAAAAUACUAUUUAUUUAACUCUCAAAAGCUCUAUUAAAAUAAAAUAAAAAAACCAAACAACCAAAAAUAAAUAAAAUUUUUAAAAAGAACUUAUAUACAUUAGAUAAGUCAUUCAAGUAGGCAUUUAAAAAGAAAAAAAUUCAGUCAAAACUCAACUCAAAGUAUCAAGUUUAACUUAAAAGCUUGGGCUAAUGGGUUGAGCCCUCACUAGCUCAUGGUACAAUUACAAACUUUUAAAAUACGAUUUAUAUAAACGAAAUUAAUUUAACAUUUAUGUGAUAAAAGAUUAAGAAAUCUUUAGUCAAAUAAGAAAACUAAUAUAUGCGAUUUUUAUGGGAAAACAAAUUGGUGGAAAGAAUCUCAAUUUCACAUAAUUAAUUUUAUUUACAAUAUUAUAAUAUAUUAAUAAUUUUUGUCAAAAUUUUUAUUUAUUUAAUGUGAAAACAAAUGCAUUGUAUAUAUUUAUUCUAUUACUUAAAUUUAAAACUAUAAAGAAUGAAACUUAAAUUUAAAAUUGUAAAGAAUGAAUAAUAACUUAAAUUAGUAGAUUAUGGGAGGAUACCUUUCAAAAAAAAUUAAAAUUAACUAAUUUUUUAGGCUUCUAAUGUAACAUUUUUAUUUUAUUUUUUUGUUAACAUAAGACAAAAAUUUAGUCUAAAAAACUCAUUCUAGGGUCUCCUUAGGGUAAAAAAAAAAUCAUUAUCACAUGAUAAUUUGAUAGCCUAAGUUGUAUUAUUUUUAGUUUACUUAUUCAUGUCAAACACCUUAUUGAGAUUAAAUUUUAGUAAAGGUAAACCCAUCCCACAUCUUUAAUCGCAUUCAGUAGGCCCUAAUUGAUUAGAUCUUGUUAUAGAAAGUAAUAUAUAACUCUUUCUUUAUUACAAUGCUAAAGAAAAAAACAUAAACACAAUAUAUUUCUUUUGAGAAAAUGCAAGUAUUAUGUUUUUUAGGUUUUUCGUUUAAGAAAUUAAUCUAAUUUAUGUAGUUAUAAGACUCUUAUUUUUUUAUGUUUUAGAAGAAUUAUAUGUUUGAUAAUGAAUAAAUUAAGAUUUAAAGUAGGACAAACUAAUUUGAGAGGGAGAUAGAGAAAAUAAUUUUUUUAGAAUUUGAAAAUUAUUAUAUUUUAAUUGGGGCUUAUUACAUAAAAUUAAUAAAACAUAUGGUUUUUAUUAUUUAUAGAAAACAAUAUGAAUUGCUAAAGAAAACACUAAAUAAUUUUUUUUAAAUUUGAAAUUAUUAUAUUUUAAUUGGGGCUUAUUGCAUAAAAUUUAUAAUUUUUAUUAUUUACAGGAAACAAUAGGGAUCGUUAAAAACAGAUACCAAAUUUGGGGGUUUGGUACAACGGUUGCAAAGUAGUUUUGUCCUCCUUUCCAUUAAUAGAGAAUUCUCUCUUCAAUUAUUGAUUGGAGUUUGUACACUAUCUUUUUUUGUUUUAUAUUUAAUUUUUGACACUUUACUCUUUCUUUGUCCGAUUACAAUUUUUGUUCUGUUAUGAUGCUCUUCUUUUUCUUAAGAGUACAUACUUUGACACAAGACCAGUUAUCUGCUCAUCAAUCUCAAGCGUGUAUUAUUGCAAUUGAUUGCUUUCUCACCCCUUCAUUAACCCAGAAAAUACAUACAUCCUCGCCUAAAUUACUGUCUGCUCAUUACCUCUUAUACCAUUAUUCCUUCAUUCUUAACCUCAAAAAACAAGUUGAAUAUGGCCGCGGAAACUGUUACUUCAGUUACCCAGCCUAUUACGGAGAAGAUUGUUGACGUGUUGUUCAAUCCAACAGUCCGUCAGUUUGGUUACUUGUGUAAGUACGAACACUAAAUUGAAGCGUUGAGGACGGAAGCAAAGAAGCUUACAGAUAGAAGAAAUGACUUGCAAGCGGAAAUUGGUGCUGCAACAAGAAAUGGAGAAGCUAUUAAGGAUGAGGUUCAAAGAUGGCCAGACAAAGUUGAUGAGAUCAUUCCAACAGCUGAAAAUGUUUUGGAGGAUGAAGUGAAAGUAAACAAGAAAUGCCUUGGCGGGUUGUGCGUUGAUCUCAAAUCACGUUACAAACUCAGCAGAGAGGCAGAGGAGAAGACUCUGGCAAUUUCUGGUCUCAUGGCUGAUGGAAAUUUUGGAAAAGAUGUGUCUCGUCCUGCUCCUCCACCAGCAAUAAUAUCUUCGUCUGAAGGAUUCUGCGCUUUCAGAUCCAGGGAAUCAGCAAUGAAGGAUAUAAUGGAGGCCAUGAAGAAUGAAAAUGUCAGCAUAAUAGGAAUAUGCGGAAUGGGGGGUGUGGGGAAGACCACACUAGUCAAGGAAAUUCAGAAGCAAGCAAAAGAAAUGAAGAUGUUUGAUGAAGUACCGAUGGCCGUUGUGUCUCAAACUCCAAGCAUUACCAAGAUUCAAGAUGAGAUUGCUGGCUGGUUAGGUAUUAAAGAACUGCCUGACAAUGACGAGUUAUUAAGAGCUAGUCUUUUGUGCAAAAGAAUCGAGAAGCAGAGGGUGCUUGUCAUAUUGGACGACGUAUGGGUGCAGAUAGAAUUGAAAAAUUUUAAAAGAGAUGCUCGAGAGCAAUGGGACUUUCACAGGACAUGAGGAUUUCAGCGCUACAUUCUUGGAUUAAGAAUUUGCUGCUCAGAUCAGAGAUUCUUGCUUUGGCAGAAGUCAACGAUUUGGAGAAUAUAGUCUCGGACCUAGCUAAUGAUGGCUUUAACGAAUUGAUGUUUCUAGUUAUUUUCAGCUGCAAUGAGAUGAAAUAUCUCUUGAACUCAUUGGAAAGGACACUACGAGUAACUCUCCACAAGUUCGAAUGGUUGUUUAUACGUGAAAAUCAGAAUUUUGUUGAAAUAUGCCACGGUCAACUCCCAGCCGGGUGCUUGAGCAAUGUAAAAAGGUUAGAUGUGGAAGAUUGUGGCAGUAUGUUGAAAAUUUUACCAAGUCAUUUGGUACAAAGCUUUCAAAAUCUUCAACGUUUGAGGGUAGAAAGUUGUGACUUGCUGGUGUCUGUAUUCGAAAUUGAAAGGGUUAAUAUUGCAAAAGAAGAAACUGAGUUGUUUUCGUCAUUAGAGAAACUGACUCUGAUCGGCCUGCCACGGAUGACAGACAUAUGGAAAGGUGACACUCAAUUUGUAAGUCUCCGUAACCUGAAGAAAGUAAGAGUGCAAGACUGUGAUGAGUUGAGACAGUAUUUCCGGCAAAUCUUGGGAAGAAAGCAGCAGCAGAGGAGAUGGUGCCGUACAGGAACAGAAGAUAUCAGAUUCACAUUCACGCCACAACCUCAACCUCCUCUCCGACUCCGAGUUUGGGAAACCUGGUUUCUAUUAGAAUUGACACAUGUGGGCAACUACGACAACUCUUCACAACCUCCAUGGUCAAAAGCCUGGUGCGAAUUGAAAGCCUAGAAGUAAGCAGCUGCCCAACACUGCAAGAAAUAAUCAUGGAUGAUGAAGGAGAAGUGGGACUGCAGGGAGCAUCAACAAAGAAGAUCACGUUUCCAAGUUUGUUCGGCAUAAAACUCUGUGAUCUAGACAGCCUUGCUUGUUUCUGCUCGUCAGGUUUACAUGCUACUAUGGAAUUCUUAGCUUUGGAGGCUUUGCAAAUAAUUGACUGUCCAGGCAUGAAGACCUUUGGUUAUGGAGACCAAUUGACACCCAAGCUGCUGAAAGGUGUGGAGUUAGAAAUUGGUGAAUAUCGCUGGACGGGUAACCUUAACCACACCAUUCAAUAAUACGUAUACAAUGAAGAGGUACAUCAAGUUAGCAAUUGCAUGCCCGUUAAAUUCCUUGGUUUUUUUUUUUUAAUUUUAAUUGUAUUUGUAUGUGGUCGUAAAAUGAUUUUCUACAUCUGCUUCUACUAGCACACCAUUUUAAUUUUGUUUUUCAUUUGGAGCAGAAAAUCAGGGAAAAACAAGCAAUGGAGUCGGGAAUUUCAUCUGGGACUACUUCCUCUAUCACUGAGAAUUGAUUGUAUAAAACAAAUGGUAUGCAUGCGUAAAAUUUUGACAAAUUCCCUAGAAUUUGUCACAUAUUUAUCCUUUGAAAUUCCAGUAAUCAAUUCCAAAUAGUUGAUUUGUUUUCAGAGCAAUUGCAAGUAUCCAAAUUUGAAAGAUUUAAGAGAGCUUCUACUUGAGUGUUCUAGUAAGGAUCAAACUGGGUGUAUUGGAGUUGUGAGUUUUGAGAGAGUUUGUUUCCUACUUUUGUAAAUUCAAAUUGAUUAGUAAGAUUAUCUUUCGGUCUUUGUUCAUGGACGUAGGCUUUACGCCGAACCACGUAAAUUAUUGUGUCCUAUUUUCUUUACAUUUGUUUAUCACAAUAUUUACAUUUCUCCAGAAGUCGUGAUCACUGUAAUAUUGAUAAUUGCUCAAUCUGCACUUUCGCAACAAUUGGUAUCAAAGCAGACAAUUCGUGCUUUGGUUAUACGACAUUAUUCACGUAUAUAGUACUAUUCACGAAUAUGAUAGAGCCAAUAGUUCGUACUUGGGAGUAUUAGGAGCCUACAAUGUAGUUGUGUGGAUAAAUGCAUGUUUAGGAAAGUUUUGUCAAUAAGAUGAUAGGAGUCUACGGAGUCGUGGGACUGUUGUGUCCCUUAUAUUGUCUUAAAAAAUUUUUUAGUGCAUUGUUUAUAUAAAUAGAUACAUAGUCACUGUUUAAUCAGGUUAAGUAAUUAAAAAACAAAGGGAUGGCAAAGGCGACGGCAUCAUCUUCAUCAACAAGGACCAUUGUAACGAAUGUGAAAUUUGAAGAGGAGAAAUUUGAUGAUAAGUAUAAUUUUGGUAUGCGGCAAUGUGAGGUGUCGGAUGCCUUAUGUCAGCAAGAGUUGGACAUCAGCUUUAAAGAAAAACCUAACAAGAUUGAUGACAAAGAGUUGAUAAAGAUCAAGAGACAAGGAUGUGGUACUAUUUGCCUAUGUCUGGAUAAAAAUAAAAAAUACUCUAUCAGGAGGGAGACAUUAACAAAAAAAUUGUAGAAGAUACUGGAAGAAAAGUACAUAAAGACAAGCCUUGAAAAUAGGUUUUAUAUGAAGAAAAAAACUCUAUUAAUUCAUGUAUACACCUUGCAUGUCGAUGAAUGACUAUGUAAACUCACUUAACAAGAUAUUUGCGGACUACUUAAUUUAGAUAAGAAAUCAAAGAUGAAGAUAAGGUAUGGUUGCUAUUGAAUUCCCUUCCUGAUAAAUAUGAUCAUUUCACCACUACUUUGAAUUCCUUAUGAAUAAAUUAAAGUCCUUCAGUUUAGUAAAAUUCUUAUGUUACCUUAAUAGUUUCAAUUUUGAACAUUUUAAUCCUCCUUUAUUUAGGACAUCGUUAUUGUAUUAUUUGAUACAUGGAACAUUAAUUAGAUUCUUGUGGAUCUUUUCCUCUUGGCAACGUUGAAUGAUCAAAUAAGAAGUGAAAUCCAGCAUAUGAAAACCGUGCUUGGACAAAACAUACCUAAUAUUGGAGCUCUCAUUAGAUUAUCCAGAAGCAGUAGCAGUCAGGACAUGAAUGCAUCCAUAUAUAAGCGCUGCCGCACAACAACUUCCAGAGCUCCAACUUCAGAAUCUGUAUCAGGAGCAACAUGUUGAAAAGUCAUGCAUGUGGCAAUUUUUCAAAGAGCUACCAAACAUUUGAAGAAAAAAUGGAAAGUUGGCAAAUUUGUCAAAUUUGCCAAAUGGACACCAUUGACAUAUUUGCAUGGGUUAGGUGGAAUAGUACUUGCUUCAAGCCUAUAAAUAGAGAGCAUUUAUUCAUUUCAAAAUCAUCCCAAAAUUGUUAAGCUUAUAAGUUUCUAAGCUUUUGAGAGAAGUGAGAGAAGUGUGUCUGGGGAAUUUAUCUUUCCUGCAGAGUGUGAGAGUACUGGGUAUAUUUGGGUUUUUGAGAAGUGAGAUUCGUUACUCAAAUAUUGUACUCAAUUAAUUGUUAAAUAAACAAUUAUUCUUUCUUGCCUCCGUGGAUGUAGGUUUAAUUACUGAACCACGUAAAUUCUUAUGUCCUUUAUUUUUUUGUAAUUAUUUGGUGCACUUGAUUCCGCAUUCCGCGCACAACAAGUGGUAUCAGAGCCGACGGUUCGUACUUGGGGGGAUACGGUACUGUUCACGUAUACGGCACUAUUCACAUAUACGAAACUGUUCACGUAUACGGUACUGUUCACAAAUACAGUGGAGACAGCCAUUUGUACUUGGGAGACAGUCUAUUGAAAGUAGUUUGUAUUUUUGCAUGUCUAGGAAAGUUCUGUCAACAAAGGCGAUAAGAGUCUAAGGAUUCUGGUUUUUAAUUGGGACUGAGUUCUCGUCUAGUUUCCUGUGAACUUGCCUGGUACAUUUAUUCACGCGAAAUUAACAUCAUAGAGACUGUUUUCCAAGUGGAAAUAGUUCAUUGAGAAAAUGGUAGAAGGUGAAACUUCCAGAAUUGGGGAGAGAUCUAUCGAGACUAUUUCAGGAGACACUUCAGGUGGGAGGCGAGAUUUGUUAAAUUGCUAUUCAGCACCUGUUAUAGGAGGCCAGAAGAUCGAUGUUGAAAAGUUUGAUGGGAAAAUCAACUUCGGCAUAUGGAGACGCGAAGUUAUGGAUGCCCUUAUUCAAAUCGAUCUCGAUGUUGUUCUGAAAAAUAAAAGACACCUGUAUGAUGAAAAAAAUUGGGAUCGUAUGAAUGAAAAAGCCUGUGGUCAUAUCAGAUCUUGUUUGACCAAGGAGGUGAAAUACUCGGUGAAAGAUGAGGAGUGUGCGGUGACUUUGUGGUGUACAUUGGAGGAGAAGUACCUAGUGAAAAGUCCUGAAAAUCGACUUCAUGCAAUGAGCCAAGUAUAUGGUUUUCGAAUGAAGCCUGUGGUGUCAAUGCACAAUCAUGUUUCAAGAUUUGAAAAGUUACUUGCUGAUUUGAAGAAUCUUGAUGAAGAUAUUAAGGAUGAAGUCAAGGCUAUGAUUCUGUUACACUCACUACCAGAGGAAUAUAGCCAUUUUGUGACUACUUUGAUAUAUGGGAAAAGUGUGAUCGUCUUUAAAGAUGUUUGCACAACAUUGAUUAGCUUAGAGAUUCAAAAUAAUGAUAAAAAUUUUGAACGAGCAUCGUUUGAAGCUUUGGUGAGCAGAGAUUGGGCAAUGGAGAAACAGAAGAAGCCUGGUGGAAAGAAUUCUCGAUCCAAAUCAAGAAGCAGAAAUAUAGCUCGAGAUGAGUGUGCAUUUUGUCAUGAAAAGGGCCAUUGGAGGAAAGAUUGUCCAAAUGCUCAAAAGAGAGAUGGAAAGAAACCAGCAGCAGUAAACAUUGCACGAAAAGAUGAGGGCUCUGAUUAUUCACUAAGUAUUACUCUUGCAGUAUACGUGGCUAGUUCGAGCGAGUGGAUACUUGAUACUGGAGCAACCUAUCAUUUGUGUCCUAUUAAGGAAUGGUUUACGGAUUUUCAUAAUCUGGAAUCCGGUGCAGUUGUGAUGGGGAAUAAUCAACCUUGUCGCACAAUGGGGAUAUGAACAAUUCGGCUCAAAAUGUUUGAUGGAAUGGUCAGAGAACUCAAAGAUGUUAGAUUUAUUUCAGCUUUAAAGAAAACUCUAAUUUCUGUGGGUGCUUUAGAAGAUAAAGGCUAUAAGGUUACCAUUGAAGAUGGUAUAAUGAAGUUUACACAUGGGGCUAUGGUAAUUCUGCAAGGGGUUCGGUAUCACAAUCUGUACUAUUUGAAGGGAGGUACAACUGAUGAAGUAAAUGUUGUUGAGGCGCACAGUGACACCACCAAGUUAUGGCAUGUACGACUGGGACAUGCUGGAGAGAAGUCUUUGCAAACUCUGAUGAAGCAUGGACUCUUAAAAUGUACCAAAACCUGUAAAUUAAAUUUCUGUGAGCAUUGUGUAGUAGGCAAGAAAACAAAGGUCAAGUUUGGUACAACUAAUCACGAUACUCGCGAGAUCCUUGAAUAUGUUCAUAGUGAUAUAUGGGGACCAACCAAGACUGCAUCAAUUAGUGGAAGCCAUUAUUUUGUUACAUUUGUUGAUGAUUUCUCUAGACAUGUGUGAGUGUACACCAUGCGAGCAAAGGAUGAGGUUCUAGAGAUUUUCGUGAAAUGGAAGAAAUUGGUAGAGACUCAAACUGGCAGAAAGAUUAAAGUAUUACGAUCUGAUAAUGGGGGUGAAUAUACUUCUGAUCCAUUCUUGCAAGUAUGCCAGAACGAGGGUAUUAAAAGACAUUUCACGGUGAGACAUACUCCGCAACAGAACGGUGUGGCUGAGCAUAUGAAUCGUACUUUACUGGAGAAUGUACGGUGUAUGUUAUCUAAUGCUGGUUUAGAUAAAAAAUUUUGGGUUGAAGCUGUGAGCUACACAAGUCACUUGGUAAACUGGUUGCCUUCUACUGCAAUUGGAGGUAAAACUCCUAUGGAAAUGUGGUCUGGAAAGCAUGCACAAGACUAUGAUUCCCUUCGUAUAUUCGGGUGUCCAGCUUAUUAUCAUGUCAAAGUUGGUAAACUGGAUUCUCGUGCUAGAAAAGUUAUCUUUGUGGGAUUCAAAGGUGGAGUAAAGGGCUUCAAGCUUUGGGAUCUCGAAAAUAAAAAGUUUGUGUGUAGCAGAGAUGUCACAUUUGAUGAAGCUUCAAUGAUGAAAGCUUCAAGUUUUCAGCAGGUGGAGAACAAGACCAAAGAGGUAUUGCAGCGGGUGGAGUUUGAUGCAACUCCAUUUGUACUAGUUAGUUCUACAUCAAAAAAUGGUUCAACUAUGGAGGUGACACCUAGAGUUGAAGAAGAGGUUGUUUCUUCUGAUGUCCCACAAAAUGAAGAAACAAUUGAUGAUGUAGAUAAUGAUGAUUUUAUAGCAACAAGAAGGCCAAGAAGAGAGAUAAAGAAACCCGGAUGGCUUACUAAAGAUAUGGUGGUAGCCUAUGCACUUCCAGUUAUUGAUGAUGACAUCCCCAACACUUUCGGUGAAACAUUACACAGUAGUGAAAGUGAUCAGUGGAAGUUAGCCAUGGAGGAAGAGAUGAAAUCUCUCCAUCAAAACUAGAAUUGGGAACUUGUAAAGUUACCAAAAGGGAAAAGGGUUAUUGACAAUAAAUAGGUCUACACCAAAAAGCAAGGAUCUCCGAAUUAAACAACUCCUUAAUACAAGGCAAGGCUCGUGGCAAAAGGUUUUGCUCAAAAGGAAGGUAUUGACUACAAUGAAGUUUUCUCUCCAGUUGUAAAACAUACUUCAAUUCGUAUCCUACACUUCUUAGUUGCAAAUUAUGAGUUAGAGUUGGCUCAAUUGGAUGUUAAGACGGCGUUCUUACAUGGAGAUUUGGAGGAGGAAAUCUAUAUAAUUCAGCCUUGUGGUUUCAGAGUUGCUGGAAAGGAGAAUCAUAUGUGUAGGUUGAUUAAAUCUUUGUACGGACUGAAGCAAUCGCCAAGGCAGUGGUACAAAAGAUUUUAUCAAUUUAUACAAGGGCAGAAAUUCACCAGAAGUGAACACGAUCAUUAUGUUUACUUUAGAAGACUACCAGAUGGAGCUUUCAUCUAUUUGUUACUCUAUAUCGAUGAUAUGCUUAUAGCUUCGAAGAAUAGAGAUGAGAUCGAAAGAUUAAAGAAGCAGCUGGCUUCUGAGUUGGAGAUGAAAGACUUAGGUGAUGCACAUAUAAUACUUGGGAUGGAGAUUCAUAAAGAUAAGAAGAAUGGGAGCGUAUGGUUGACUCAAAAGUCUUAUUUGAAGAAUGUGCUAGAAAGAUUUGGUAUGGAUGACAAAACUAAACCGGUAUGUACACCUCUAGCUCCUCAUUUCAAAUUAAGUUUUUCUUCAUGUCCUAGAUCUCAAGAGGAGCACGAUUACAUGGCUCGUGUUCCAUAUGCUAGUGUUGUGGGUAGUCUUAUGUAUGCUAUGGUAUGCACAAGACCCGAUAUAUCUCAAGCAGUGAGCAUGGUUAGUAGAUACAUGCACAAUCCGGGUAAAAAUCAAUGGCUUGCGGUAAAGUGGAUUCUUCGAUAUCUGUAUGGGAUAGUUGAUGUUGGGUUAUUGUUCAAGAAGGAUUAUGGUCAACAAUGUGUUGGGUAUUGUGAUUCUGAUUUCGCUGGAGACCUUGACAAGCGAAGAUCAACAACGGGCUACGUAUUCACAUUGGGUGGAGGUCUCGUUAGCUGGAGGUCGAUUCUACAAUCGACAAUUGCUCUGUCCACUACGGAAGUAGAGUAUAUGGCAGCAACUGAAGCUGUAAAAGAAGCUAUCUGGUUGAAAGGCUUGUUAGGUGACUUAGGAGUAAUCCAGAAGAACAUUGUGGUCUUCUGUGAUAAUCAAAGUGAGAUAUUCCUUGCGAAGAAUCAAACAUAUCACGCUCGGACGAAGCACAUAGAUGUGAAAUAUCAUUAUGUGAGAGAGAUUAUCGAGAGCGGUGUUGUGUUGUUGAGAAAGAUCGAUACCAAAGAUAAUCCAUCAGAUAUGUUGACGAAGGUAGUUUCUGGAGUUAAGUUUCAACAUUGCUUCAAAUUAAUUCAAAUCAUUCGAUUGUGUUAAGAUAUGUCCUUCGGGAAUUUUGAACUACGGUUGGCUUGAUCCCAAAUUUUGGGUACGUAGGCAUUCAAAGAGAUGCAGCCAUUUUCGGGAUGAUGAUUGGUUAGUAGUCGGCUCAGAUUUGGACAAAUUUUCACCGAUGUGGAGAAUUGUUGAAAAGUCAUGCAUGUGGCAAUUUUUCAAAGAACUACCAAACAUUUGAAGAAAAAAAUGGAAAGUUGGCAAAUUUGAAAAAUUUGCCAAAUGGACACCAUUGACAUAUUUGCAUGGGUUAGGUGGAAUAGUGCUUGGAUUAGGUGAAAUAGUACUUGGGUUAGGUGGAAUAGUACUAGCUUCAAGCCUAUAAAUAGAGAGCAUUUCUUCACUUCAAAACCAUCCCAAAAUUGUUAAGCUUAUAAGUUUCUAAGCUUUUGAGAGAAGUGAGAGAAGUGUCUAUGGGGAAUUUGUCUUUCCUGCAGAGUGUGAGAGUACUAGAUAUAUUUAGGUUUUUGGGAAGUGAGAUUUAUUAUUCAAAUAUUGUACUCUAUUAAUUGUUAAAUAAAACAAUUAUUCUUUCUGGCCUCCGUGGAGGUAGGUUUAAUUACCGAACUACGUAAAUUCUUGUGUCAUUUAUUUUUCUAUAAUUAUUUGGUGCGCUUUAUUCCGCAUUCCGCGCACAACAUAACAAUCACAGUACGAUUUUCAGCAGCAACCAUAUCUCAGGCUAAAUAGUUUUGGAGUUCAAAAUGAGCAAGGGCAAUGCAGCCAACUUUAGCAGCAGUUGCUGCACUAAGAGAAUCCAAAAUGAGCAAGGGCAAUGCAGCCAACAAGCCCACCAAAUUCAACUAUAAUAACAGCUGCCGGAACUUUAAGCAGCUCCAUGCCGUGAGCUUCAUCAUUGGAGAGUGAGGACAGAAAUGAGGCACCAUCAUUCUAAAGAUUUUUUUUUAUUUGAUUCCUAUUAUCGGGUGAUUAAGUACUAUCUAUGUUAGUUUACUAUGUUGUGGUAUUGUGUUGAUUGCUUAUUUCAAGAGAAAUUUAAUUUGUUGUUUGAAUUGUUUGUGUUUGGAGUUUAUUAAAAAUUCAUAAGAAUAUUAUUUGCAAUGCAUUUUAUCAGUUAUUAUAAUUUCCAGAAUCCCAUAAAAUGGAUUUGAUCGAUGCUACUUAAAUCUUGAUUUUUGAAGGGCUUAAGUUGGUCUUUGUUACACACAUAUAGUUCUUCUCUAGUGCGGGAGCACUCAUUUUUUUUAUUUUUUUAUGUGAAUACAAUUUAAAAUCGUGGAGUUUAAGAGAGUUAGUUUUUAACUCUCUAAAAUCGUAGGAUUUUAUUAAAAAAAAAUGUGAACGUCCGCACUUAAGAAUGAUAUGAUAUAUAUAUAGUGCGCAUUUAGUAUUAAACUGAUUAUGUGCACAUCAUCAUUUCAGCACGUGAUAUGUAUAAUCAUCUCUUGAUUCUCGCAUUCUUUCUUGAUGAGCUACAUAUACAUAUUAUCUAUAAAUAAAUAGAUUGUAAUUAUACUUGUUAAUUAAUAGCUUGUAUCUACACAUACGUCUACUUUCUUGCAACAAUAUUCCAAGGUAUAACACAAAAAAUUAAAUGUUUAAGCAGAGUUCCAUUUUUUUUUUUUUUUUGUUUCUUGUGCAUAAUCCUUUCAUUAUAAAUUGCUGAAUAGGAAAAUGGUAAAUGAACAAAUGCAAGACAAAGGGUCGACAGAAACGGCAGCCAAUCACGCGUUCCUUUUUCUAAUUUUUCUUUAGGCCGACAAUAGAUAAUAAAAUAAGUUUCAAAAAGGGAAAAAAUACUCAAAUAUCUCCUGAGAAAGGAAACUCCAUCCACUCAUCCUUGACUCAUUCUCCACCCACAUCAUUCCCGUCUGUUUCACAACUCCACUCGUCCCCAUCACCAACUUACGCUCUAAACACUUCGUCCCCUCCGUUUCCCAUCCUCCACUCGUUCUCCACCCACAUCAUCUCUCUGUUUCACAACUCCACUCGUCCCCUCACCAACCAUUGCUCUAAACACUUCGUCCCCUCCGUUUCCUUUCUCCACUUGUCCCCGUCCAUUACUUUCUAUCAAUUCAAAGUAAAAAAAAAAAAAAAAAAUCAUAACAAUUUAGAUAUAUAAAACGCACGCAUCCAGAGAUUUUUACAAAUUUAAACCAUCACUUUCUAACAAUUUAUAUUGAAAAAAAAUUCUAAUAAUUUAAAUAUAUAGAACACAAGUAAAAACGAAUUUUAUUUAAAUGUAGUGGGAAACUGAAAGUUACCGAUUAUCUGGCUACAAUUUCAUCAACGUGGUUGGCGUGGUCUUUGGCACCAAAUUCAGAUCUUUGAAUGUUGGUUUUAUUUCAUUUUUCUUUUGUUAAUGCAAAUGCAAAUCUGAGUUUAUCGGGUUUGGCUUUGUCCGCUUGGAGGAUAAUGGCGUUGAUGGCACACAAGUAGUUACUCUGUCAUUACUUUCUUCUUUUAAAAUUACCUUUUCGUUACUUUUAUGUUACUUUUUCAUGAUUUUAAUAUUUUAUUUUCAUUAUUUUAAUUUUUUAAAUGAAAAGAGAAACAUAAGUGGGACCCAAAGAAACAGCAGCGGGCAGCCGGGCACUACCGUUAUGUCGUCCCUUUGUUCAUCUAGCGCUGUUGUGUUAGUUAUCUCUUACAAGUUAAUAAAAGAAAGUACUAUAAUGCUAAAUUAUAAUGGUAAUAAUGUUAGAACCACUAAUCCUUUUGUAAAAGGAGUUUGUUGCUCUAUUAUCAAAAUAACAAUAAUAAUUUAAAAAUAUAUAUAAUCUUUGUUGUAAUGCUUUUGUACUCUUCUCAAAUUUCACCAUGGAAAAUAAUAUAUAUGAAAGCGAGUCGCCUUGAAAGCAAAGGCAAGACUGCGAGCACUUCUCUUGUGAAUCAUUUCUUUAUUUGUUUGUUCUUUCUUUCUUUUGCGUGUUGUAGCUGCUUAAUUCUUCUUUAUCUACAAUAUUCAUUUGGCUUUUCACUUUUCUGUUUCUUUAGUACAAUCUUACAAACUAACCAUUGGUUUAUGAGCAUCACGGUAUAAUUAAUGUUUGUACCCUUCUUUAUCUACAAUAUUCAUAGAAAAUAAUAUAUAUAGAAACAAGUAUGGGAUUGAUCCAGCUACAUAACAGCAUAUAAUAAAACCACAUCCUGUAAAUAAAAAGAAAGCUAUUAGAUAAAUGAAACGAAACGAAACGAAACCUACAGGUUUAAUGUAUGGACUAGACUACUAAAUGCUAAAAUCUAAAAAUUGAUACCGUUUUAGUAAUAUCAUUAACAUAUAUUUAAUAAACAACGCACAAUAGAUAAUUACUGAACUACAAGAAAGUUUAUAUAAUUUUCUGAUAAAUCGCAUAUGAAGAAUGCAUAUAGCCGAAGAAAGAGAAAUUAAGGAUUGGUGCAUUGUUUCACUUGAUUAAAGAUCUGAUACAUGGGCCAUGAACAGACAGAAUUCAUGUGCAAUUGUUUCAAAAAUUUUUUUCCCCACUAGUCUCCUUUGCCAUAUCAAACUCCAGAAGUAAAUCUCAAUUCACAAACCACAAAGAACAAGUGAAAAGAUUGAAGAUGUUUGGGUUGGAUUUUUCUGGUAGCGUAUCGAAAUAUAGUCGAUCCUCAUCUACUCAGAUGUUGUUGAGCUGACCUCAUAAGUACAACCUGGAGCCUAUAUUAGCGACCUGAUUUAUAGGUACGACAUGAAUAUCCUAUUUUAAGAAUACAACCUCAAGCCUAUAUAAUCCGACCUCGAAAUUCAUUUGUCCGACCUGAGAAUUAGCUUGACAUAAGAAAUUGCUAGUCAAGAGAACGUGGCCUAAUUUCUAGGGAAGUUGUGUGCCACGAUCUAUUUAAACCACCUCCAACUGACAACCACUUGCAACUGCUGAAGAAAGCGGGCUGAAGUUAAGGGAGUAACCGUCCACGACCAAGAGCCUAUUUAAACUGAAGAGCGCAUCAGGUGACGGGGUUAGCAAAAAUGAACCAAAAAACUCUAUAAGUGACCUAUCUAAGAGCCUUAACGGGGCUGACUAGAUUUUUAGUUCCUUGAUCGAAAAAUUCCUUUCUUUUGAACCCAUUCACAAUUCUUCCCUCUCAUUUUUAUCUCUUUAUACACAAUUUCUGACUUAAGCAUCGGAGGGUCUGCGGCGGAAACCCACCGGCGUAUCCUAACCGUGUUUUCUGGUUGACAGGUAUAUAAAAUUACGGUCAUAUUGGCGUUUGAGCUUGGAUUCGUGCUGUAAUUCCCUUAAAGAAAUAAAUUCAGUUGUUAAGGUCGUUUUUCGGCAUCAACAUCUUGGCGCCGUCUGUGGGGAACGGUGCGAAAAGCCAUACGUUUGACAAUUUAGAAGGAAGAGGCUAUCAGAUUACGGAAUAACGAUNNNNNNNNNNNNNNNNNNNNNNNNNNNNNNNNNNNNNNNNNNNNNNNNNNNNNNNNNNNNNNNNNNNNNNNNNNNNNNNNNNNNNNNNNNNNNNNNNNNNAAAAACUUUAGAGGCAUUAGAGGCAAAAACAGAGGGCAAGAAAGUGGUAGGAAGGUUGUUACUUGAUGACGAGUCCCCCUUGGUACGUGAAGUGAUGGCGGUAACUUUCCCACCCAAGUAUGUGGUUCCAGCCUUGGUGUAUGAAGGCAAAACUGACCCGAAUCAUCACGUGGAGAAGUUUAAUGAGAUGAUCGGGAUCCAAGGCUUGAGUGAUUUUCAAAGGUGUCGUGUUUUUCCUUUAACCUUAGAAGGACAAGCACGGGAGUGGUAUCAGAGAUUAAAGGGAAGCAUAGGAAAUUUCAAGGAGUUAUGUGAGCUUUUCACUGUGCGUUUUAGGGGUUCAUGCAUACCAAAGCAAGAUACGAGCAGAUUGAAAAAAUUGGUACAAGGAGAAUUUGAAAGUUUGAGGAGUUUUGUGACCAGGUAUCAUAAGGAGGUUACUGAUCUAGGGGCCUUUGAUCAUACAGAUGCUCUGGAGGGAUUAAAGAAGGGGUUGAGAAUCAAUCGAUUGUGGAAUAGCUUAUAUUGUAAGGGGAUAACAACAUAUGCUGAGGCGUAUGACCAGGCAAAAUUGGAUAUGAAAACUGAAGAUGCAGAGGAAGAAAAGAUGAGAAUGGAAAUGCAGACAGAGGGUCCAAUGAGGAAGGGAGACCUGAGAAGGAGAGGAGAUAACUUUGGGUAUAGCUCGAGGAUGAACAUGGGUGAUAGGCGUCAUUAUGAUAGAGGGUUGCUCAAUUAUAGACAACUAGAAAGGCCGGGUCGAAAUUGAGAAGCAAAUCGUGAAAGAAGAGAAAUCUCAUUAGUAGGAAGGGGCCGAGAGGGAAGAAAUAAUUAUGGGAGGAACCAGCGGGAGAACCGAGUAAGAGAUUACAAUAGGUUGCCACCACCUGUAGACCGGAGAGGACUGAGAUCUGACAAUGGGGUGAAUUUAUUAGAACAAAGUGGAAGAUACACACCACUGAACACGAGCAGAGCAGAAAUAUAUGCUGCAAUAAAAGACAAGGGGUUACUAACACUGCCAAAGCAGAUUGUAGGGGGUUUGGGCGGAAGUGCUCACCACAAGUAUUGCGAGUUUCACAAGGUGACCAGACAUGGAACUGUAGAUUGCAUUGACUUGAAGGAACAUAUUGAAUGGCUAGUGCAAAAUCAAUAUCUAAAGGAGUAUGUGGAUGACCAAGGAAGAGGUAGGAGAAAAGGAGACAUCAUAGAUAAUGUAGCGAUGAUGAUUAUGGGAGGGUCGACCUUAGCAGGAGACUCAAACCGCUCAAGGAGAAAUUAUAGUCGAUAUUCAUUAAAAAAUUUUGAGGUGAAUUUUAAUGUUCCGAUACCAAAGAAGCAGCGGAUUCAAAGGGUGCCGAUCAUGUUCACAGAUGAGGACGAGGAAGCAGUCGCACAUCCACAUGAGGAUACGCUUGUAGUGAAGGUUGUCUUAGUAGGGCAGGAAUUGAACCGAGCUUUUGUAGAUGGGGGAAGCUCAGUUGACAUUUUGUUUAAGCAAACUCUAGACGGUCUACAAAUAGGAGACCUCAGGCUUGAUCCGGUCAGAACAUCACUAAAGGGGUUCGGUGGAGCUGAGUUGAUUCCCCUUGGGUUGAUUGACUUGCCACUGACAAUAGGGUCCAGCCCACUACAAAAGACAGUGAUGCUAACAUGGUUGGUAGUUGAUGAGCCAAGCCCUUAUCAAGUUAUUUUGGGCAGACCAUUCAAUAGAAUAGCAGGAGCAGUGAGCUUAACCCAUAUGCAAUGUGUGAAGUUUAGAGUUCAAGGUGGAGUUGGAGUGAUGAGGGGCCAACAACAAGUGGCUCGAAGCUGUUACGCUACAGCUGCGAGAGAAUUCAUGCAGAUCACAAGUAUCGAUCCACGAGCUGAAAAUAGGUUGUGCCAACAGCGACCUAAUGAAAAAAUGAAACAAGUACGGGUAAGUGAGGUUGAUCCGAGCAGAGUGGUAAGAGUGGGAACAAAAAUGAUAGAUGACAUCUCCAAUGAGCUUCAGAUUUAUUGAUGGAGUUCUAGGGCUGAGCUGGGAAGGACCAUAUAAAGUGCUACACUCAUUUGGUAAUGGGGCAUAUAAGUUAGGUUAUCAGGAUGGCAGGGUCGUUGGCAAGACAUGGAAUGCAGAGCACCUGCGAAAACACUAUCAGCUAAGAUAUAUCUUAUUUAUGAUGUUCUUGUUUGUCUGUUUUCUUUAAAUAUGCUAAGAAAGUUUGUUUCUUUGUUAUUUUAAUUUGUUAUGUGUUCAAUUCUGUAACUUCUGCUAUAUUAAUAUCAAUGAGGUUAUUUAGAAGUGCAAUUUUAUUUCUUAUUUACUUGUGACUGGUCUUAUUGAGAUUGAGAUCGACAUGGCGGCCUUAUUGAGGUCCAACGUGAAAAAAUUCAUCCAAUCUUAUUGAGAUUGAGAUCAACAUUUUGGACCGUAUUGAGGUCCAACGUAAAAAGAUUCAUCCAAUCUUAUUGAGAUUGAGAUCAACAUUUUAGACCGUAUUGAGGUCCAACGUGAAAAGAUUUAUCCAAUCUUAUUGAGAUUGAGAUCGACAUGGCGGCUUUAUUAAGGUCUAACGUGAAAACGUUAUCUAAUCUUUUAUUGAGAUUGAGAUCGACAUGGCGGCCUUAUUGAGGUCCAACGUGAAAAAAUUCAUCCAAUCUUAUUGAGAUUGAGAUCGACAUUGCGGCCUUAUUGAGGUCUAACGUGAAAAAAUUCAUCCAAUCUUAUUGAGAUUGAGAUCGACAUUUUGGACCAUAUUGAGGUCCAACGUGAAAAGAUUUAUCCAAUCUUAUUGAGAUUGAUAUCGACAAUGCGACCUUGUUGAGGUCCAACGUGAAAACGUUAUCCAAUCUUUUAUUGAGAUUGAGAUCGACAUGGCGGCCUUAUUGAGGUCCAAUGUGAAAAAAUUCAUCCAAUCUUAUUGAGAUUGAGAUCGACAUUGCGGCCUUGUUGAGGUCCUACCUGAAAAGUUUAUCCAAUUUUAUUGAGAUUGAGAUCGACAUUGCGGCUUUGUUGAGGUACUACCUAAAAAAUUUAUCAAAUCUUAUUGAGAUUGAGGUUGUCAUUUUGACCUUGUUAAGGUCUAAUUGUAAUUCGACCAUGUUGAGAUUGAAGACGGCUAUUACCUUGUGGUUAGACAACUUUAACUUUUAUCUUGUUGAGAUCUACAUUUUUCAAUUUUAUCGAAAUUGGUUUUUACCUUAUUUGGGUCGAUCAUUUCCUUAUUGAGGUUGGCCAUAAGUUAAGUUUUACAAUUUUCUAUUUAUUGAGGUUGGCCAUUGCCUCGUGGAGUUUGGCCAUAGCCUUAACAUUUAAAUUCUACAAUGUUCAAUUUUGUUGAGGUCAGUCAUUGCCUUAAUGAGGUUGGCCAUAAGCUAAGUUCUACAAUUUUCUAUUUAUUGAGGUUGGCCAUUGCCUCGUGGAGUUUGGUCAUAGCCUUAACAUUUACGUUCUACAAUGUUCCAUUUUGUUGAGGUCGGCCAUAGGCUUAACAUUAAGUUGCCCAAUUUCAAUUUUAUUGAGGUCGGCCAUUGCCUUGUUGAGGUCGAUCAUAAGCUUAACAUUUAAGUUCUCCAAUUUUCAAUUUUUUUUAGGUCUGCAUUUUACCUCUACACUUAACCUUAUUGAGGUCGACAAUCUAUCUUGUUAAGGUUGACAUUUUCGUGAGGUCAACAUUUUUCUUAUCGUGAGGUCGACGUUUUAGCUCUACAUUUAACCUUGUUGAGGUCGACAAUCUAUUUUGUUAAGGUUGACAUUUUCGUGAGGUCAAUAUUUUCCUUGUCGUGAGGUCGGCGUUUUAGCUUUACAUUUAACCUUGUUGAGGUCGACAAUUUAUUUUGUUAAGGUUGAUAUUUUCGUGAGGUCAAUAUUUUCCUUGUCGUGAGAUCAUGUGGUCAGCAUUUUGGCUUUACAUUUAACCUUAUUGAGGUCGACAAUCUAUCUUGUUAAGGUUGACAUUUUCGUGAGGUCAACAUUUUCCUUGUCGUGAGGUCGGCGUUUUAGCUCUACACUUAACCUUGUUGAGGUCGAUAAUCUAUCUUGUUAAGGUUGACACUUUUGUGAGGUCAACAUUUUCCUUGUCGUGAGGUCGACGCUUUAGCUCUACAUUUAACCUUGUUGAGGUCGACAAUCUAUUUUGUUAAGGUUGACAUUUUCAUGAGGUCAAUAUUUUCCUUGUCGUGAGAUCGUGAGGUCGGUAUUUUAGCUUUACAUUUAACCUUGUUGAGGUCGACAAUCUAUUUUGUUAAGGUUGAUAUUUUCGUGAGGUCAACAUUUUCCUUGUCGUGAGAUCGUGAGGUCGGCGUUUUAGCUUUACACUUAACCUUGUUAAGGUCGACAAUCUAUCUUGUUAAUGUUGACAUUUUCGUGCGGUCAACAUUUUCCUUAUCGUGAGGUCGGUGUUUUAGCUUUACAUUUAACCUUGUUGAGGUCGACAAUCUAUUUUGUUAAGGUUGACACUUUCGUGAGGUCAACAUUUUCUUUGUCAUGAGGUCAGUGUUUUAGCUCUACACUUAACCUUGUUGAGGUCAACAAUUUAUCUUGUUGAAGUUGACAUUUUCGUGAGGUCAACAUUUUCCUUAUCGAGAUUGACAUCGAAAUGAUAUAAUCUUAGUGAAUUCAAGGUCAUUGCUUGGUGUUAUUGCUACCAAAGUUGACCAUAUCUAUUUGUUUGACCUCAACAAAGUCUUAGAUGGGCUCAGUCUACGGAAUGCAAGUCAUAACCAACCCUAGUAAAUAAAGAGUAAAAAAGGCAAGGUCAGCAUAAUAAUUAUCUAACUACAAAAGCAAAUUAAAGUUCAGUAACAUACAGUCUACACAAGUUCAUAUUGCAAAAAAAGGGCAAGUAUUGUAAUAAUCAAACUUAGGAAGUUAUCUCUUGGUCUUCAACAACCCUACUAGUUAGGGAGACCUCAACCUCAACCCUGACCUUAUCACUUUAAGGCACUUGGUCAUGGUUAUCUUCUUGGUCCACACUUGAAGGUUUCUUCCUACCCUUCUAUUUGCUCACCAUUAUGCUCUACACCGUCUUUCUUUUGCUUGCAGCCAUAUUGCUCUUUCUUCUUUGUUUUAGUUUCCAAUACCGUUCAUAUCUUCUCAGUAUUGAAAACUAGGGGACUGGUGUUGGGUUUGAGAAAAAAUUUUUUAUUUUUAAAUAAUUAGUUUCCAACACUGGUAAUGACUUUCUGGUAUUGAAAACUAGGGGACUGGUGUUUGAGUUGGAUUUUUCUGGUAGCGUAUCGAAAUAUAGUCGAUCCUAAUCUACUCAGAUGUUGUUGAGCUGACCUCAUAAGUACAACCUGGAGCCUAUAUUGGCGACCUGAUUUAUAGGUACGACAUGAAGAUCCUAUUUUAAGAAUACAACCUCAAGCCUAUAUAAUCCGACCUCGAAAUUCAUUUGUCCGACCUGAGAAUUAGCUUGACAUAAGAAAUUGCUAGUCAAGAGAACGUGGCCUAAUUUCUAGGGAAGUUGUGUGCCACGAUCUAUUUAAACCACCUCCAACUGACAACCACUUGCAACUGCUGAAGAAAGCGGGCUGAAGUUAAGGGAGUAACCGUCCACGACCAAGAGCCUAUUUAAACUGAAGAGCGCAUCAGGUGACGGGGUUAGCAAAAAUGAACCAAAAAACUCUAUAAGUGACCUAUCUAAGAGCCUUAACGGGGCUGACCAUAUUUUUAGUUCCUUGAUCGAAAAAUUCCUUUCUUUUGAACCCAUUCACAAUUCUUCCCUCUCAUUUUUAUCUCCUUAUACACAAUUUCUGACUUAAGCAUCGGAGGGUCUGCGUAGGAAACCCACCGGCGUAUCCUAACCGUUGCCGUUGUUGUUGUCGAGCUGACCACGUAAGUACAACCUGGAGCCUAUGUUGGCGACCUGGUUCACAAGUACGACCUGAGAUUUAUGUGAAUGACCUGAUUUAAGAAUACAACCUUAGACCUAUAUGAGCGACCAAGAAAUUCACCGGUCCGACCUCGAAAUUUAUUUGCCCGACCAGAGAAUUAGCUUGACAUAGAAAGCUAUUGGUUAAGAUAACGUGGCCUAAUUUCUAGGAAAGUUGUGUGCCACGAUCUAUUUAAACCAUCUCCAACCGAUGACCACGUGGAACUGCUGAAGAAAGUUGGCAGAAGUUAAAGGUGGUAACCACCCAUGACCAGGGUCCUAUUUAAGCUAAAAAUGGUAACUGAGGCAGGGGUUAGCAAAAAUCAACCAAAAAACUCUAUAAGUGACCUAUCUAAGAGCCUUAACAGAGCUGACCAGAUUUUGAGUUCUUUUAUCGGAAAACUCCUUUCUUUUGAACCCAUUCGCAAUUCUUCCCUCUCAUUUUUAUCUCCUUAUACACAAUUUCUGACUUAAGCAUCGGAGGGUCUGCGCCGGAAACCCACCGGCAUAUCCUAACCGUGUUUUCUGGUUGACAGGUACAGAAAAUUACGGUCAUAUUGGCGUUUGAGCUUGGAUUCGUGUUGUAAUUCCCCUAAAGAAACAAAUUCAGCUGUUGAGGUCGUUUUUCGGCAUCAAUAUCUUGGCGCCGUCUGUGGGGAACGGUGCGAAAAGCCAUACGUUUGACAAUUUAGAAGGAAAAGGCUAUCAGAUUAAGAAAUAGCGAUGGAUGACAACGAUGGAGAUAGGCAGACCUUGCGCCAAUUGGCGGAAGAAAUGAGCGCCACAACAGAUAAGAGAUGGAGAGAAGGGAUCGAGAGACAAAUGGCAAAAUUUGAAGAGAUGAUCAGGGGGUUGGUUGAUGCCCAAGUCAGAGAAACUCAAGUUCGAGCUAGUGAUCCCGAGAAUAGUGGAGAGCGAGAGAGGGAAGAGCUUGGUGGUGAACAGCAGAGCGGAAUGGGACUACCACAAGUUGGGGUACGACAAGAGAAUAGAAGUGCAGGAGAACAAGUGAAUGAAUUGAGAGGGAGAAUCAAUGACUUGAAUCAAGAAAGGGAGAGAGAAGAGCUGAGAGACCCCCACCGGGCAAAUGAGCUUGAGCAGCGAAUGAUGCAAUUUAAAAAAACUUUAGAGGCAUUAGAGGCAAAAACAGAGGGCAAGAAAGUGGUAGGAAGGUUGUUACUUGAUGACGAGUCCCCCUUGGUACGUGAAGUGAUGGUGGUAACUUUGCCACCCAAGUAUGUGGUUCCAGCCUUGGUGUAUGAAGGCAAAACUGACCCGAAUCAUCACGUGGAGAAGUUUAAUGAGAUGACCGGGAUCCAAGGCUUGAAUGAUUUUCAAAGGUGUCGUGUUUUUCCUUUAACCUUAGAAGGACAAGCACGAGAGUGGUACCGGAGAUUAAAGAAGGGAAGCAUAGGAAAUUUCAAGGAGUUAUGUGAGCUUUUCGCUGUGCGUUUUAGGGGUUCAUGCAUAUCAGAGCAAGAUACGAGCAGAUUGAAAAAAUUGGUCCAAGGAGAAUUUGAAAGUUUGAGGAGUUUCGUGACCAGGUAUCAUAAGGAGGUUACUGAUUUAGGGGCCUUUGAUCAUCUCGAUGCUCUGAAGGGAUUAAAGAAGGGGUUGAGAAUCAAUCGAUUGUGGAAUAACUUAUAUAGUAAGGGGAUAACAACAUAUGCUGAGGCGUAUAACCAGGCAAAAUUGGACAUGAAAACUGAAGAUGCAGAGGAAGAAAAGAGGAGAAUGAAAAUGCAGACAGGGGAUCCAAUGAGAAAGGGAGACCUGAGAAGGAGAUGAGAUAACUUUGGGUAUAGCUCGAGGAUGAACACGGGUGAUAGGCGUCAUUAUGACAGAAGGUUGCUUAAUUAUAGACAACCAGAAAGGCCGGGUCGAAAUUGGGAAGGAAAUCGUGAAAGAAGAGAAAUCUCAUUAGUAGGAAGGGGCCGAGAGGGAGGAAAUAAUUAUGGGAGGAACCAACGGGAGAACCGAGUAAGAGAUUACAAUAGGUUGCCACCACCUGUAGACCAGAGAGGACUGAGAUCUGACAAUGGGGUGAAUUUAUUAGAACAAAGUGGAAGAUACACACCACUGAACACGAGCAGAGCAGAAAUAUAUGCUGCAAUAAAAGACAAGGGGUUACUAACACCGCCAAAGCAGAUUGUAGGGGGUUUGGGCGGAAGUGCUCACCACAAGUAUUGCGAGUUUCACAAGGUGACCAGACAUGGAACUGUAGAUUGCAUUGACUUGAAGGAACAUAUUGAAUGGCUAGUGCAAAAUCAAUAUCUAAAGGAGUAUGUGGAUGACCAAGGAAGAGGUAGGAGAAGAGGAAACAUCAUAGAUAAUGUAGCGAUGAUGAUUAUGGGAGGGUCGACCUUAGCAGGAGACUCAAACCGCUCAAGGAGAAAUUAUAGUCGAUAUUCAUUAAAAAAUUUUGAGGUGAAUUUUAAUGUUCCGAUACCAAAGAAGCAGCGGAUUCAAAGGGUGCCGAUCAUGUUCACAGACGAGGACGAGGAAGCAGUCGCACAUCCACAUGAAGAUACGCUUGUAGUGAAGGUUGUCUUAGCAGGGCAGGAAUUGAACUGAGCUUUUGUAGAUGGGGGAAGCUCAGUUGACAUUUUGUUUAAGCAAACUCUAGACGGUCUACAAAUAGGAGACCUCAGGCUUGAUCCGGUCAGAACAUCACUAAAGGGGUUCGGUGGAGCUGAGUUGAUUCCCCUUGGGUUGAUUGACUUGCCACUGACAAUAGGGUCUAGCCCACUACAAAAGACAGUGAUGCUGACAUGGUUGGUAGUUGAUGAGCCAAGCCCUUAUCAAGUUAUUUUGGGCAGACCAUUCAAUAGAAUAGCAGGAGCAAUGAGCUCAACCCAUAUGCAGUGUGUGAAGUUUAGAGUUCAAGGUGGAGUUGGAGUGAUGAGGGGCUAGCAACAAGUAGCUCGAAGCUGUUACGCUACAGCUGCGAGAGAAUCCAUGCAGAUCACUAGUAUCGAUCCACGAGCUGAGAAUAGGUUAUGCCAACAGCGACCUAAUGAAGAAAUGAAACAAGUGCAAGUAAAUGAGGAUGAUCCGAGCAGAGUAGUGAGAGUGGGAACAAAGAUAACGGAUGCCAUUUUCAAUGAGCUUCAGAAUUUAUUGGUGGAGUAUAAUGACAUAUUUGCUUGGAGCCAUGAAGAUAUGCCGGGAAUAGACCCACGAAUCAUGUGUCACCGGUUGGCUAUAGAUAAAAAACAUAAGCCUGUGAAGCAGAAAAGAAGAGUGUUCAACAAGGAAAGGUAUGAGGCCAUCCAUGAUGAGGUGGAUAAAUUGUUGAAAGCGGGGUUUAUAAGGGAAAUGAACUAUCCAAAAUGGGUUUCGAAUGUGGUGAUGGUUAAAAAGGCAAAUGGAAAAUGGAGGAUGUGUGUGGACUUUACCGACCUCAACAAAGCUUGUCCCAAAGAUAGUUUUCCUCUCCCAAAGAUUGAUCAGUUAGUGGAUUCAACAGCCGGGCAUGGCUUGAUGAGUUUUAUGGAUGCAUUCUCAGGAUACAACCAGAUUCGUAUGUCCACAGCAGAUGAAGAAAAGACAGCUUUUGUGACUGACCAAGGAUUGUAUUGCUACCGUGUGAUGCCGUUCGGAUUAAAAAAUGCAGGAGUUACUUACCAAAGGUUAGUAAACAAGCUUUUCAAACCCUUGAUUGGUAAAACAAUGGAGGUAUAUGUAGAUGACAUGAUAACCAAGUCUGUUGAGCCGGUCGAACAUACAUCGCAUUUGAGUGAGACGUUUGAAGUUCUAUGAAAAAAUCAGAUGAAGUUGAAUCCGGAAAAGUGUGCCUUUGGAGUGGAAUUAGGGAAAUUUUUGGGCUUCCUAGUUAGCCAGAGGGGGAUAGAGGCUAAUCCGGAAAAAGUAGAGGUCAUUCUCAAGAUGAGGUCGCCGAAGGAUCUUAAAGAUGUUCAGAGCUUAGCUGGGAAAGUUGCUGCGCUGAGCAGGUUUAUUUCGAAAUCAUCAGAUAAAUGCCAUCCGUUUUUUGAAUUGAUGAAGAAAGGAAAAAGAUUGAGGUGGUCGGAAGAAUGUGAGACAGCAUUUCAACAAUUAAAGACGUAUUUGGCUAACGUACCAACUUUGGCUAAGCCCUUAGUUGGUGAUGUUCUCUUGAUCUACUUGGCGGUCUCAGAUUAUUCAACUAGCUCGGUCCUGGUAAAAGAAGAAGAUGGAGUCCAUAGUCCUGUAUACUACACGAGCAGAUCUCUUACAGGGGCGGAAGUUAGAUAUCCUAUUGCAGAAAAGUGGGCGAUGGCUUUGGUUGUAGCCGCAAGAAAGCUGAGGCCGUAUUUUCAAGCUCAUGAGAUCGUGGUCGUCACCAAUCAACCUUUAAGACAAAUUUUACACAAACCAGACAUUUCAGGAAGGUUAGUUAAGUGGUCAGUAAAGCUAAGUGAAUUCGACAUCAGUUACCGACCGAGAUCAGCAAUUAAAGCACAAGCUCUAGUCGACUUCAUUAAUGAUUGCAGUGACGGUAAUGAAGGGAUGGAUGCUGGGCAGGAUAUUAAAGAGGCAGAGAAGAAGAAUGAUGUAUGGGAGCUUAAUGUAGAUGGAGCUGCAAACCCAGAAGGGUCAGGCGGAAGAAUUGUUCUUGUUUCACCCGACCAAGAAGAAGUAUGCUAUGCUCUCAAGUAUGAAUUUCAUCCUACAAACAAUGAAGCAGAAUAUGAAGCUCUCAUUGCAGGUUUAAAACUAGCAAGAGCAUUGGGGGUUCGGUAUUUGAAGGUGAAGAGUGACUCGCAACUGGUAGUGAACCACCUGAAUGGGACAUUUCAAGCCAAAAGUGAGAACAUGUCCAAGUAUUUGAGCAAAGCACUGCAGCUAUGGGGUAGUUUUGAUCAAGCUACAAUGGAGCGAGUUCCGAGGGGAGAGAAUUACCGAGCGGAUUAUAUAGCAAGACUGGCAACUACAGAAUGCCCAAAGUUCCCACGAGGAAUCCCAUUAGAGUCGGUUUCAAAGCCAUGUAUAGCUGAUCCCGAGAUGGAAGUGUAUAUGGUAAAAGAUGAGAAGAGCUGGAUGGUGCCUAUUAUGAGGUAUAUUGAAUUUGGGGAACAGCCUCAAGAUAAAGCAAAGGCAAGAAGGCUGCGAUGCCAGGCAACACGGUACUCCAUAAUCGAAGGUGUGCUUUAUAGGAGAGGUUACACUUUACCUUACCUGCGAUGUUUGGGCUCAGCUGAUGCCAACUAUGUGAUGAGAGAGGUGCAUGAGGGAAUUUGUGGAAAUCACGGCGGAGGCAGGGCAUUGGCCCAUAAAAUAAUAAGGCAAGGUUAUUUUUGGCCGACCGUGCACGAAGACACAUAGGAGUUAGUUCGGAGAUGUGAUGAAUGCCAAAAGUUCACCGUAAUUGCAAGACAACCACCAGAAAACAUGAUGACAAUGGGGAGCACUUGGCCAUUUGCACAAUGAGGGGUGGAUCUUAUCGGACCAAUGCCGACUGGGAGGGGCCAAAUGAAAUACGCGGUGGUACCCAUUGAUUAUUUUACUAAGUGGAUUGAAGUUGAACCGCUACAAAAGAUAACCGAGAAGCGCACAACAGAUUUCAUAUGGAGGAAUGUGAUUUGCAGAUAUGGCCUACCGCAAGCUAUUAUCACCGAUAAUGGAAUCCAAUUUAAUAAUGAGAAUUUCAAGAAGUUUUGUAGUCAGCUCGGCAUUGAACUACGGUUUAUCUCACCUGCUCAUCUGAAGGCAAAUGGACAAGUAGAAGCGGCGAACAAAAUUAUAAAGCAGUUGCUGAAGAAAAGGUUGGGUGAGAAGAAGGGAGCUUGGGUGGAUGAGCUUCCAGGAGUGUUAUGGGCCUGUAGAACGACCGUGAAGACUUCAACGGGGGAGACUCCAUUCUCACUUGCUUUCGGCCAUGAGGCGGUAAUCCCAGCUGAGGUUGGCAUUGAGACACACCGCACAAAGUAUUAUGAUGAGACAGUAAACAGGGAGUAUAUGUUGUUGGAUUUGGAUUUGCUUGAUGAGAAGAGAGAUGCGGCAAGAGGUCGAGCGGCAAUUUACCAGCAAAAAGUGGCUAAGUUCUCCAACAAGAAUGUCCGGCUACGACAAUUUCAGGAGGGGGACCUAGUGCUCUGUAAAGUCAACCAGUCAACCAAAAAGCCAUCUGAUGGAGUUCUGGGGCCGAGCUGGGAAGGACCAUACAAAGUACUACACGUAUUUGGUAAUGGCGCAUAUAAGUUAGGUUAUCCAGAUGGCAGGGUCGUCGGCAAAGCAUGGAAUGCAGAGCACCUACGAAAAUACUAUCAGUAGGCCAACCUUAUUCAUGAUCUUGUUUGUUUCCUUUAAAUAUGCUAGGAAAGUUUAUUUCUUUGCUAUUUCAAUUUGUUAUGUGUUCAAUUCUAUAAUUUUUGCUAUAUUAAUUUCAAUGAGGUUAUUCAGAAGUGCGACUCUGUUUCUUAUCUACUUGCGAUCGGUCUUAUCUGAGAUCCGUAUAUUUGGGCCUUAUUGAGGUCUAACGUGAAAAAAGUUUUGUAAUCUAAUUGAGAUUGAGAUCGACAUAUUUAGGCCUUAUUGAGGUCUAACGUGAAAAAAGUUUUUCAAUCUAAUUGAGAUUGAGAUCGACAUAUUUGAGCCUUAUUGAGGUCCAACGUGAAAAAAGUUUUGCAAUCUAAUUGAGAUUGAGAUCGACAUAUUUGGGCCUUAUUGAGAUCCAACGUGAAAAAAGUUUUUCAAUCUAAUUGAGAUUGAGAUCGACAUAUUUGAGCCUUAUUGAGGUCCAACGUGAAAAAAGUUUUGCAAUCUAAUUGAGAUUGAGAUCAACAUAUUUGGGCCUUAUUGAGGUCCAACGUGAAAAAAGUUUUUCAAUCUAAUUGAGAUUGAGAUCGACAUAUUUGAGCCUUAUUGAGGUCUAACGUGAAAAAAUUCAUUCAAUCUUAUUGAGAUUGAAAUAGACAUUUUUGGACCUAAUUGAAGUCCAUUAAUAUAUAUAUAUAUAUAUAUAUAUAUAUAUUAAUAAUAAUCUAUCGAAUGAGAUUAAGGUUGACCAUUGCCUUGUUGAGGCCGGCCAUAAACUUAACGGUUAAGUUCUACAAUUUCUUAUCUAGUUGAGCUCGGUCAUUUUCCUAUCGAGUUCAGCUAUAACCAUAACAUUUUAGUUCUAUGGUUUUCAAAUUAUUAAGGUCGACAUUUUAAGUUUUGUAAAGCCCACGGUUGAGGUCGACACUUGUUGCUUUGUGAGCUCUACGUUUGAGGUUGUUUAUUAAGGUCGACAUUUCAGUUUUGUAUAGCCUACGGCUGAGGUCGACAUUUUAGUUUUGUAAAGCCCACGUUUGAGGUCGACACUUGUUGCUUUGUGAGCUCUACGUUUGAAGUUGUUUAUUAAGGUCGACAUUUUAGUUUUGUAAAGCCCACGGUUGAGGUCGACACUUUCUUUGUGAGCUCUACCUUUGAAGUCAACACUUGUUGCUUUGAAAGUUCUACGUUUGAGGUUGUUUAUUAAGGUCGACAUUUCAUUUUUGUAAAGCCUACGGUUGAGGUCGACAUUUUAGUUUUGUAAAGCCCACGUUUGAGGUCGACACUUGUUGUCUUUGUGAGCUCUACGUUUGAGGUUGUUUAUUAAGGUCGACAUUUUAGUUUUGUAAAGCCCACGGUUGAGGUCGACACUUUAUUUGUGAGCUCUACCUUUGAAGUCGACACUUGUUGCUUUGAAAGUUCUACAUUUGAGGUUGUUUAUUAAGGUCGACAUUUCAGUUUUGUAAAGCCUACGGUUGAGGUCGACAUUUUUGUUUUGUGAAGCCCACGUUUGAGGUCAACACUUGUUGCUUUGAAAGUUCUACGUUUGAGGUUGUUUAUUAAGGUCGACAUUUUAGUUUUGAAAAGCCUACGGUUGAGGUCGACAUUUUAGUUUUGUAAAGCCUAUGUUUGAGGUCGACACUUGUUGCUUUGUGAGCUCUACAUUUGAGGUUGUUUAUUAAGGUCGACAUUUCAGUUUUGUAAAGCCUAUGGUUGAGGUCGACAUUUUAGCUUGGUAAGAUCUAUGCUCGAGGUUGACACUUCGUAAGAAUCUAUAGCGAGGUCAGCUUCGAGCUUCCUAAGGUCAACUUUCCAGCUUAGUUACAAUCGGCAGUAGCCUAAACAUCUUCAGUCUUGUCGUGGUCGGCAUUAGCUUUAUUAAAAAUUAGCGUGCAAGCUAUGUAACGAUUAUCUGAAGUACAAACACAAAAUGAAAGCGCAACAAGAGUUAUAAGUUCGUACAACUACAAAAAGGCAAGCCUUAUAGCAACUUUUCAAAUCUACUUAGAAAGCAUUCUCCUCGUCUUCAGCAACUCUGCUUGUUAAAGAUGCCUCACCCUCAACUCUAAUCUCAUCACCCUGAAGAACUCGAUUUGCUUCUUGAUCUGUACCCAAUGACUUCUUCUUAGCCUUUUCUUUGCUCACAUAAGCGGUCAACAUCCAUUGAAAGUCCAUGUCUGGGUGUUUCUCUUGGAACAAUUCGAUGCAUGUCUGAAUGACAUCCGCCUUCAAUUGCCUUUUCUCUAGUCGAAUGCAUUGAUCAACAUCAGACUUAACUUUUUCCAACUCAUAGCUGAGAUCGGCAAUCUUGGAGUCUUUGCUCACAUUAGAUUUCUUUUCGGCUACCAAGUCUUCUGCCAAGCGAGUAUUUUCAUCGUUGCGAGCAUUGAGGUCACGCUUGAGCCGAUCUCUCUCGUUUGCUGUCUUUUCGUUCGUGAGGUUGGCUUUCAUCAAAGCACGCUCGAGUUCUUCUAUUUUCGCAUGGCCUUUUAAUGACUUUGCAAACGUCUCGAUAUGCGCGGCCAUGAUCAAGGAUUGCUGGAAAAGAAAGCAUGACAAUUAGGAUGGAAAGUAUAAACAUCACAUAAAUAAAGGUUGUGAAUUAAUACCCACCUCAACUUGGUUUCGAGCAAGCGCUUCAAGAGCAUGAGUAGCUGACAAAUGGGAAAAAUUCACGAGGGUAUCCUGGCUCACAAAUCGAGCAGCUAAGUUCACCAUGGGUAGUAAGUCCUCCACUUUUCCUCGCUUUGACUCUAUGAUGUCACUGCUUUCAAGCAAGCUUCCUUUCGGACAUAUCGGGGAAGGGGUAGGUGGCAAAAUGCGCAGGGGACCUCAUAAGUACAACCUGGAGCCUAUAUUGGCGACCUGAUUUAUAGGUACGACAUGAAGAUCCUAUUUUAAGAAUACAACCUCAAGCCUAUAUAAUCUGACCUCGAAAUUCAUUUGUUCGACCUGAGAAUUAGCUUGACAUAAGAAAUUGCUAGUCAAGAGAACGUGGCCUAAUUUCUAGGGAAGUUGUGUGCCACGAUCUAUUUAAACCACCUCCAACUGACAACCACUUGCAACUGCUGAAGAAAGCGGGCUGAAGUUAAAGGAGUAACCGUCCACGACCAAGAGCCUAUUUAAACUGAAGAGCGCAUCAGGUGACGGGGUUAGCAAAAAUGAACCAAAAAACUCUAUAAGUGACCUAUCUAAGAGCCUUAACGGGGCUGACCAGAUUUUUAGUUCCUUGAUCAGAAAAUUCCUUUCUUUUGAACCCAUUCACAAUUCUUCCCUCUCAUUUUUAUCUCUUUAUACACAAUUUCUAACUUAAGCAUCAGAGGGUCUGCGUCGGAAACCCACCGGCGUAUCCUAACCGUGUUUUCUGGUUGACAGGUACAUAAAAUUGCGAUCAUAUUGGCGUUUGAGCUUGGAUUCGUGCUGUAAUUCCCUUAAAGAAACAAAUUCAGUUGUUGAGGUCGUUUUUCGGCAUCAACAGAAGAUCUGAAAGAUCGGGUCCGCAUCUUCAAGAGAAAGAGUAAAGCAUUUGACACUUUUGAUUUUAAAAAGCUUUAUCCCCAGACACGCAUAAUAAUUACAGAGCGCAUGUAAAAACGUAAUAAUACCAUGCAAUGAUGGUUUUUAAAAUAGACAUAAUAAUUGCCAACGAUCACUCGAUAACUAUUAUUCUUCUUCAUUUAUUUUUCUCUUAUAAGACAAUUACUACCUUCUUUCAUUUACUUUUCUUUUCUUUAAAUUUCUCUUAUAAUUAUUACAAUAACUUAUAUAUUUAUAUAUUUAUAAAAUAAACGGUAAAUAAUAAAUAAAAAUUAUUUCCCUCCCGUUGUUUGCCUUUUCAAAAAUUAUUCAACUUGUUUUCUAAGGUUAAGAAUGAAGGAAUAAUGGUGUAAAAGGUAAUGAUCAGACAGUAAUUUAGGCAAGGAUGUAUGUAUUUUCUGGGUUAAUGAAGGGGUGAGAAAGCAAUCAAUUGCAAUAAUACACACUUGAGAUUGAUGAGCAGAUUAAUGGUCUUGUGGCAAAGUAUGUACUCUUAAGAAAAAGAAGAGCAUCAUAACAGAACAAAAAUUGUUAUCGGACAAAGAAAGAGUAAAGUGUCAAAAAUUAAAUAAAUAAAUAAAUAAAAAGAUAGGGUACAAACAAUAAUUGAAGAGAGAAUGCUCAUUGAGGAAUACGGCAACAGAUGUCCAAAACUUAAAAGGCCCUCGCGAUGACCCUUGAAACAAGCAUAUAAUCACGUUACAAAAAAGGCAUCUUUGUAACAGUCAUUUAAACUGGUAGAGUAAUGAUAGAUGUCGUCUUUUAUGAGUUAUGGACAUCGCAGAUGACGCUUUUAUAGAUAUAAAUACACAAGUUAUUUUAUUAGUCAUUUUCGUCUAUUUUACAAUGAUUUAAAUAUACAAGUUAUUAUAAUAAUUAUAAGAAAAAUUUAAAGAAAAAUAAAUGAAGGUGGAUAGUGGUUGACUGGUGGAAGGAAAAUAAAUGAAGAAAGAUAGUAAUUGUCUAAUAGUAUUGGUGAUAAUUAUUAUCUCUAUUUCAAAAUUAUUAUUGCGUUUUUUCAUGUACUCAUUAAGAAAAAUGAUAGAUUUUUAAAAUUUAAGUAAAUGUCGGGUAUCUUAAGGAUGAAGUUUUUCAUUAUUAUUCUUGUUGCUAUUAUUAUUAUUAUUAUUAUUAUUUAGAUUGUUUUAAAUUUAGAUAUAUACUUAAGCGGAAAGAAGAAAAUUGGAUAUUUAGAUAUUUAUUAUGUUGUAGUAAAAAUUGAUUAAUUAUUCAUAAAUUUUAAAAAUCAGUAUGUUGAUUCUUUAGUGCAAGUAGUCAUAUUUUCAUAAAAAUGAAAUCUACUCUGAUUUAGUGCAUGACUUAUUACUCUCGAGAUGAUGAAAUCCUUGCUAAUAAUAGUUUUAACAUGCCAUUGUUAUUACUUAAGUUGGAAAAAAAAACAAAAAUUAUGAGACUGGUUGAAUAACUAACUUGUCGAUAAUAGACAAAAUUAAAUUUAGGUUACUAAUGAUUAUCGAAUUUGGUAAGUCUAGUUUAUAAAAGUCAAAAGCAAGAAAUCGCACUAUAACAAUAUCAAGUUUCUUCUUCUUCUUCUUCUUCUUUUGUGGGUAAGAUAAGUCCUAAUAAUUCUAUUGUUAAUCAUAAUGCACUUUUCUGCAUAUUGUAGUUGGUUGGAUAAGAUAUUUAGUUAAAAUGUUCUAAAAAAUUUAAUAGUGUUGUGUGCAUUGAUAUUGGCUAUUUUGUAUAUGGUAGUUGGUUUUUUUUUUUAAUAUUGAUAUACCAGACGUAUUUACAAUUACGAUAUAGUAUUAGGACUUGUGUACAUUAAUUUGACCCUCAUACAUUUUGUGAGAGAUAACACUAUUACUACUCAAUGUCUCAAUUAUGAAAUAAUUGAAGAAAGAUUGCAACUAAUUUUCAUAAUAUUUUUAAAGAGACUCGAACUUUUCUAUUAGGCCAAAGGCUCAUUAGUGUAAAUGGUCGUUGGUUGAAUAAGAUACUCCCAUCUCAAGAUAGUGUUAAUAAAGUCAAUAGCAACCAAAUGAACAAAGUAUAUAUAGAAGAAUAGUUUCGGCUAAAUUCAACAGACACCUCCAUGACGUUGGCAAGGUAUGUACAUAAAUUAUAAUUAAUUUUGAUUUAUUUGUAUCUUUCAUAUUGGCUAUGCACACACAUAAUUGUUGCAUUAUUUUUAACUAUUUUAAUUUAGUAUUGGAGUAUUGUUGCAGGAUUAUGAAUGUUGUUAGUUGCCUCCGAGAGGGUGUUUUGAUCACUUGUGAAGAAUGUAGUUUUCCUUUGUAAAGAAUGUUUUGUUAUUUACGAUGUAAUGGAUAUCCAAUUUGGGAUGUGUAAAACAGGAAAUACCAGUCAUUUGAAUCAUUAAUAGUAUUUUCUUGACAAUAAAUUUAUGUACUUCCUAGAUGCUUGAUGAUGCAGUCUUUGCCAAUUCAUAUUAGCUUAAUAUGAAAAUUAAAUAGUAGAUUCAAAUAUUUUAAAUAUUUAUAAUUUAAAAUAACAUUAAUUAAUUCAAAAAUAUCACUUUUAUCAUUCAAAGAUGACUCCCAAUAUAAAAAGCUAGUCUUUUGUUCAAAUAAACUUGACAAUUUCUAAGAAAAAGAGUGACAUCACUUUAGGAAUUAUUAGAGCAUUUUCCAUACUAUAUUAUUUUAUGACUGAUAUUUUACAGCAUGAGUCAUGUAUAAAACAGUCAUCUACAAUAUAGAUAACUCAUAAAAGACCACAUCUAUCAUUACCUACCAUUUUAAACAACUGUUUUAAAGAUGACUUUUUUUUUGGCCGCGUCAUUAUGUAUUUUUUUCAAGAGUCAUCUUUAUCGUUUAUGUUGUGCGAGGGCCUUUAAGUUUUGUACAUAUGUUGCCAUGUUCAUUAAUGAGCACUCUCUCUUCAAUUAUUGAUUGUACCCUAUCUUUUGUUUUAUAUUUAAUUUGUCGACACUUUACUGUCUUUACCCGAUUACAAUUUUUGUUCUGUUAUGAUGCUUUUCUUUUUCUUAAAAUGCACACUUUGACACAAGACCAUUAAUCUGCUCGUCAAUCUCAAGUGUGUAUUAUUGCAAUUGAUUGCUUUCUCACCCUUCAUUAACCCAGAAAAUCCAUACAUCCUUGCCCAAAUUACUGCCUGCUCAUUACCUUUUAUACCAAUAUUUUUUUCAUCCCUAACCUGAGAAAAGAAGUUGAAUAUGGCCGCGGAAACUGUUGCUUCAGUUACCCAGCCUAUUGCGGAGAAGAUUGUUGACGUGUUGUUCAAUGCAACCGUACGUCAGUUUGGUUACUUGUGUAAGUACAAACGCAACAUUGAAGCGUUGAGGACGGAAGCAAAGAAGCUCACAGACAGAAGAAAUGACUUGCAAGCGGAAAUUGAUGCUGCAACAAGAAAUGGAGAAGCUAUUAAAGAUGAGGUUCAAAGAUGGAUAGCAGAAGUUGAUGAGAUCAUUCCAAAAGCUGAAAAGUUUUUGGAGGAUGAGGUGAAAGUAAACAAGAAAUGCCUUGGCGGGUUGUGCGUUGAUCUCAAAUCACGUUACAAACUCAGCAGAGAGGCAGAGGAGAAGACUCUGGCAAUUUCUGGUCUCAUGGCUGAUGGAAAUUUUGGAAAAGAUGUGUCUCGUCCUGCUCCUCCACCAGCAAUAAUAUCUUCGUCUGAAGGAUUCUACGCUUUCAAUUCCAGGGAAUCAGCAAUGAAGGAUAUAAUGGAGGCCAUGAAGAAUGAAAAUGUCAGCAUAAUAGGAAUAUGCGGAAUGGGGGGUGUGGGGAAGACCACACUAGUCAAGGAAAUUCAGAAGCAAGCAAAAGAAAUGAAGAUGUUUGAUGAUGUAGCGAUGGCCGUUGUGUCUCAAACUCCAACCAUUACCAAGAUUCAAGACGACAUUGCUGGCUGGUUAGGUGUUAAAAAACUGCCUGACAAUGACGAGUCAGCAAGAGCUAGUUUUUUGUGGGAAAGAAUCAAAGAGAAGCAGCGAGUGCUUGUCAUAUUGGACGACUUAUGGGGGCGUAUAAAAUUGUCUGAGGUUGGUAUUCCUUACGGGAAGGAUCACAGAGGCUGUAAUAUUUUGCUCACAUCUCGAUCACGUGCCGUCUGCAAUCAAAUGAAUGCUAAUAAAAUUGUUGAAGUCGGAACUUUAACGAACGAAGAAUCCUGGAGCCUUUUCAGGGAGGUAGCUGGUCCAGAAGUUGAUAAUCUUGAAAUAAACCCGACUGCAAGAGAGGUGGCUGACGGGUGCGGUGGCUUGCCAAUUGCGAUUCUCACAAUAGGAACAGCGCUGAAGGAUAGAGACAAGCAUGUUUGGAAAGAUGCAGCCGAACAACUCAAAAGUUCCGCCCCAACGAACAUCGAAGGGAUGGAAGAGUUUGUAGUGUCACGCGUGGAGCUGAGCUACAAUUAUCUGAAAAGCGAGGAGGCAAAAUCAAUCUUCCGACUCUGCAGCUGCUUUCCAGAAGAUUACGAUAUUCCAAUUGAAGUGUUGGCGAGAUACGGAUGGGGUUUGAGGUGCUUACAAAACGUCGAUUCAGUGGAGAAGGCCAGAGGCAGAGCACGUAGUGCUGUAAGUACCCUUAUCUUUUCUUAUUUGUUAAUUGAUGGUGAGGAGGAAGGGUGUGUUAAAAUGCAUGACGUUGUGCGUUAUGUUGCACAACAAAUAGCGUCUAAAAAUAAGUUCAUGAUUAAGGCCGGCGUCGAGCUAAAAGACUGGCCAAGCAUAAAUACAUUUGAAGAUCUGACUGGAAUCUCAUUGAUGUUCAAUGAUAUUCAUGAGGUACAUGAGGGGUUGGAGUGUCCAAAGCUCCAAGCUUUAUUCCUGCAGGAAAAUUAUCACUUAGUCAUUCCUGACCCAUUUUUUCAAGGGAUGAAAGAUCUGAAAGUUUUAGACUUGGAAGGAAUCCGAAUGGUUUCACCGCCUUCCUCACUUUCAUUCCUUAGUAACCUCGGAACUUUAAGUCUUCAUGAUUGCCGUGGCUUGGGCGACCUAUCUUUAAUCGGAGAGUUAAGUAGAUUAGAGAUUCUUGAUCUUUCAGAAUCUGAUGUAAGUGAAAUUCCGGUCAGUUUUGGACGAUUGGGUCAUCUAAGAUUGUUGGAUUUGACAGACUGUGAGCACCUAGAACUAAUACCCCGAGGUGUCCUCUCUAGCCUUCGUAAGUUAGAGGAGUUAUACAUGUCAGACAGUUUUUGCCACUGGCAAUUUGAGAGCGAAGAAGAUGCAAGAAGUAAUGCCAAAUUUAUUGAGUUAGGGGCCUUGAGUCGACUCACUAGUUUGCAUAUUGACAUCCCGAAAGGCAAAAUCAUGCCUUCUGACAUGUCCUUCCAAAAUCUGACAAGCUUUUCGAUUACAAUUGGUGGCCUUGAGGAGGACCCUCUCAGUGAUUUAAUAGAACUAUUUUUGGAAAAAUUUAAGAAGAGAUGCUCGAGAGCAAUGGGACUUUCACAGGACAUGAGGAUUUCAGCGCUACCUUCUUGGAUUAAGAAUUUGCUGCUCAGAUCAGAGAUUCUUGCUUUGGAACAAGUCAACGGUUUGGAGAAUACAGUCUCGGACCUAGCUAAUGAUGGCUUUAACGAAUUGAUGUUUCUAGCAAUUUUCGGCUGCAAUGAGAUGAAAAGUCUCUUGAACUCAUUGGAAAGGACAC